UCCAUGUGAGCUUUAGGUUUUGGUAAUAUAGCAUUAUCACCAAUGAUAACGUGAUAUAAUGACAAGAUAAGCUUUAGUAGACUUAUUGGCAAUUCACAAAGCCGGGAUAUAUUCUACUCAACUAUUUCAGUAGUGGACUAAGCUGGAAAGUGAUUCCUCGUGGAUCGAUCCCCUCUAUUGUUGAACCUGGCGUGCAGAGAAAACUUGUCCACCUGCUUUGUUUUGUGAUUGGUUGAACAAAAGAGAGAACAAUCGAUGUGAUGCGCAAUAAUUAAGCAAUGGAAUUUUUAGGAAUCACCUUUUCCCCUGGACAGGUACUUUUGCUAGUCGUGUAUUACAGAUAUGCACCAAUGAUGCAGCAGAAGAGGUGGCGCAGAAGUUAAAAAUGUAGUUGUUUUCCAUCAGUUGUUUUCCAUCAGGUAGAAUGAUGAUCCUGUUCCUAGAAGGUGCUCAUUUAUGACCCGCUAAUACACCUACGGAACGUAGAUUGAUCAAGAGGAAUUUAGCUGUAGCACUUUAAACAAAGGCUCGCUCUUUAAACAAAGGCUCGCUCUGACCAUUCUCAGUUGAUUCCACCCACAUAGAUCCAAACGAAAGUUAGCUAUACAAAUAAUUAAGUAAAAAGGAUUAAUUUAUUAACUUUUAGAAAACUCCCUUUUUCUACCCAAAUGGGCCUCCUUGAUCUCAGCUGCUCGUGGACCAUCUUUUCCUUCCCUCCAACUUAUUUGGUGAACAAAUCAAAGCAAAAAGUCUGGCAUCCUUUACUUUAUCGUGGGUGCACGUUGUACAUCUGUUCAUAUAUUGUCCCUGUAUGCAAACAGUUGUUAACUCAGGACAUGCCUAGAGUUGAAUAAAUGGUUUCUUGGUAGACAAAAGGGACUGCACGUGGAAAUUAAAAAAGAAAACUCGCAUGGAGCUCUUGCAAAAAGGAAUAAUAUGCACAUGCUAAGGGUAGUACAAUUAAUCAUCUCUUGUUUAUGUGUGUUUGCAGUAAUAAAAUCUUAAUGCAUAGCAUGCGAGUAUGACAAACGAAGGGUUACUGAUAUGAAAUUGUUUAAAUAUAUCAUAUAUCGCUUGACUGUGAGAUUCAUAUAUUAUUUACGUAAAUAGGAUGUCCCUCGACUUAUUUGCCUAAACUUUUGGGUUAAACAUUUUAAUAUAUUGUCAGUUUCUGCCUCAAUUUAUUUCGCGUGUGUGUCUACUAUAUGUCACUCUUAAUUCAGCUUACACAUUAGAGGGAUUAUUGAAAUAUAUCUCAUCAUAUGCUCUUAUAUACAUGUACUAUCCCUUCAUCUAUAAGUUUAAGUUAUUAUGUUGGACUUUCUAAUGAAAAAUAAUGGAUUGAGACGACUACACCUCACAGCAUGAAUAUGAGUGAGAGUAGGGCAAGAAAUUAAAUUGGUGAAAAAAAAGAAACAAAAACAAAAACGUACCUCCUGGCACCGUAACAUAAAAAUAGCCAAUGGACACGUGUCAACUCGAGACCUUAUAUAAAUGAGAGCGGGAGGUCGUUGCGAAGCAUAAUGGAUCGUGAUAAAAGCAGGGGAAGCAGAGUAUGAAGACGAUCCAGACUUCGCUGCAUUUAAGCACGAUAGAAAGCUGAGCAGUACAUGUACAUACCUUUGGGAGCAUGACACUAGAAAAGUACUGUGUACUUUCCCUCACCGUCAAUAUGGGUCCUCAACAUCUUUUUAGUUUAUUUAUCAUUGUUAGGUAAAAGGUGAGCAAGCCCCAAAUUUAGGGUUUGUCAUGAGGUUGACUUUAAGAUUUAUUGUCAUGGAAACAAGACAUUGCCGGAAAGACAGAAGAAACCAUUUGUAAAAACAAGAGAGAAGGGGUGGAGUGGGGAGAAGAUCAUUUUCUGAACUGAAAUGAUUGUCUAUUUUGACUCGCAACAAUUUCCUCAGUGAGGAGCAGUGGAUUUUGUAAGACUUUUGAAUUUUAUACAUUUGCUUAGAUAAUAGAAGUACUCAUAUUUACGUAGUUAAAAAGAGCGAUUAUCUAUAUCGUCUAUAGAAUCCAAUGUUUUGUGUAUUAAUAAAUUUCAAAAAAUAUUGACAAAUAUCAAUAAGUUUUUAGUUAAAAGAAGGAAUAAAAGCCAAAAAUCUUAAAUUAUGUGCAUUGUGACACAUUUACCCUAACCCAUUUUUGUAUGAAGGAAAAACUCCCAAACUUGUACCUAUGACACAAUUAUCCUCCAUCAAAAUUUUGUUAAUAAGCAUCAUUAAAAAUCUACUUACAUGGACAACGAAAGGCAAAUGGUGUUGACAUAGAGCUCACAUCACAAUAAAAUAAAAAUGGUAGUAAUAUCAUCGGACAAAUCUUUGAUGGAGAGUAAAUGUGUAACACGGAUACAAGUUUAAUAUUUUUGAUAUCAUAAUAAAAAAUUUAGAAUAAAUGUAUCACAAUAGGCAUAGUUUGGAGCUUUUGAUAUUAUAAAAAAAAAAAAAAAGUUCAGGAUAAAUGCUUAACAAGAUUAAGUGAAUACCCAAAAUCGUAGUCAUUAGAUAUAAUUUAAGGUUUUGGUGGCUUUUUUUCUCAAAAAAUGAUAAGUGACCUUUCUUUCUUGAGAUUAUUGGUGAGAUGACAAAUUGCAGAAAAAUUCUUUUAGCAUUCGUGUAUGAGAGAGGUAAACGAUUGAAAUGAUGAUGGUGAGCCCCAAUAUACAUGCCCUAUUUAGCUUCCUUUUGACGCCAAGACCUUAAGAAAAGAAUUUGACACUUAACUCUUUGAGAUUUGAGAACAUGUGGCAUUUUACACUUUCUUCUUGUGGCCGAGAAAAUGGAAAUAUUCAGAAUAUAUCUUUCUUAUCUUUCCUCGCGACCAAAUUUUCAAGAGGAAAUAUGCACUGUCGCUCUUCAAGUUUCACCCAUCCGCCUAAUUUAGUUCACCCAGCUCAUCAAAUCAAGGAUAUUAAAUGGGUUGGCCAAAUUUCUAGUUCAUGUGGGCUCAUUAAAAUGCUCAUAAUAUGACAUUUAUAAUGUUUUUUUAAGGGAUCGGAGUCAGUCAAUCCUUAUUUUUUAUACAAUAAAUAAUUAAUGGGGUUUUGUCAAAAUAUUGGUGUCAUCAAUCAUACCCAAUUACUUUACACAUUUAAAAUUUUUGUUUAAAAUUUUCCGCAUCAAUAAUGGUGUAUUCCUUUUACUAGCAAUAUAGAGAUUUUAAAUCAAAUUAGAGUUAGUUUCAAAUUUUUGUUAAAAUCAAAUUUUUGUUAAUUCCACUGACAUCAGAAAAUUUGUUCAAAUUUUUAUGCUUAUAUAUCUUCUAUAUUGGAACGUCCAAAUUCGAUUUGUUCUUUAUGUUUAUGGCCCAAAAAUAAAAUAAAAAUUGUGAUGUUCACUUCGCAAAGAUUGUUUUCUUUUUGUCGAUGAGCAGUCAGCAACAACUGAUUAAUAUAAAUUUUUUUUCUUGCGUAAGAUGACUUGGAAUUCUUAGUACAACACAAUAUAUCAAUUAAUUUAGUCAGAUCAUAGAUCUGACCAAAACCCUACUUGAACGAGCAUCUCAUGUGCCGGCUUGGUCUGUGACAUCCCAUGGCCGAUCCGUACAGGCAGCGCCACUGAUCUAUGUCUGAACAAUUGACGCGGACAAAUUAAUAGGUCAGAAUAUGGAGAAUAUCAAUUUUGCACGUUGCAUUUAAAAACUUAGGAAAUUUUUCUAUUAUAUAUUCCAAGGGGUUCCUCUUGUUUUUGGUUAAACUCAUUGCAGUCCAAAAUAAAUGGGUAUGCUUGCGUUGCAUAGUACAUAUAUUUUAUGUGCAUUUGAGACAUUUAGACGUGUCAAAAAUAGUACGAAUAUCGUUGAUUAUUGUAGAGUGGUUAUAAAAUGAUAGUAGACAAGUCCUUAUAAUUCAUAAAUCAGUUGCUUUUUUAUAAAAAAAAAUUAUAUCGCGUGUCACUGUCAUAAUUAGCUUCAAGAUAUCUUUUGGAUCUUAUGGGCAAUUACGAGUUUCUAGAAUAAAUAUGUUUUUCUUUCUGAUCUAAUUGUUGACUUGUUGGUCAAUUUGUCUAGCUUCGGAUCAUAGUUUGAAUUUGAAUCAAGCAUGAGAUUUAUCUUUUGACAUGUGUUUAUGAUACGCCGCGAUAAUCGGUGGGAGAAAUAAGUCACAUCAAGCAAAAGCAAAAGCUAUUAUUCUCUGAGAUUUUUUAAUGUUACCAAGAAUACAAAUUAAUGGUAGGUGAGAAUUCAACAUUGCAUCGAAAUUAUUUAUAAUUUAUAUGCUCCACGAGAUUUUUAGUUACGAGGCUAAACAAAAGUUUUUCAACACAUUUUUCUAGAGAUCCAUAAAAAUUCUAUAAACAAUUCAUAGAAGAAGAGCGGGAAGUCUCGAUAACCAUGAUAAAUUGUAAGUAUCAGAAAGAAAUUAUAGUUCUUAUAGACUAGAAAGGAUAAUUUUGAAUGAUUAGUUAUCGUAAUUAAUUAAAAGUCAAGUUCACUAAGAAAAGUGAAACAAGUGGAAGGUUAUUGAGGAUUAUUAAGUAGGAAGGGGUUGGGCGUGGAAGAAAGAUAAUUUUCUGAAUUGAAAUUAUUUUCUAUUUUGAUUGGAAAAAAGUCACUAAAAACCCUAAAUUAUGCACAUGAUGACACAUUUAUCAUAAAUAUUUUUUCAUGACAUAAAAAAAUCACAAACUUAUACUUGUAUGACAUAUUUAUGCUCCAUCAAAAUUCUAUCAAUGAGAACUCCUAAAUAUCUAUCUACAUUGACACCACAAAAGUAAAUAGUAUUGACAUGGCUAAAAGAAACUUUAUUUUUUAGUUGAAAAAAAUCAUCUACCGAAACCUUGAAGGAGAAUAAGUGUUUCAUAUAAGUACAAAUUUAGAGUUUUUUAUGUCAUAAGAAAAUAUUUAUGUUAAAUGUGUUGCAAUGAGUAUAAUUUGGAAUUUUUGAUAUCAUAAAAUAAUGUUGGGAUAAAUGUAUCAUAUGAGCAUAGGUCGGAGUUUUUAUGACUUUUUUUCCCAUUUCGAUUCGAUUCAUUUUCCUUCACGAGGAGCAAUUGAUUGAUAGCACGUCUGAUUGUGAUAAAAUUGCUAAGGUCAUACUUCUCUAGUUUAAAAUAACAAUUAUCUAUUACCUAUGCUGAAUGAUAUGAUUACGUGUUAAAAAUGCAGAUUUCUUGUGCCAGUAAAUUUCAAUAAAUGAUGAUAAAUAUGAAACAACCACUGGUUAAAAGAAUGAUAAGUGACUUAUUUUUUCCGAGUAGCAUGUUGAUAAUUUAACCAUAGUAUUAUGAGUAUCAGCUACUUGUUUAUAGCUUAUAGAUUACCAAUCUUUAUGCUAACUUACCACAUGUUAUUUGAAUGACCUGCUAACGCAUGUAACUUAUUAAUUCCAUCAUUAUAUUACCUACCUAAGUUAAAAUGAAUUAUCGACUUUACGUAAACAACCUAGUUAGUGCCACAUCAUUUUCUGGCACGGCAUUUCAAGGGAGAGUAAGGCCACGUAAGCACGAGGUGGACGAAUCAUGUUGACGCGUGGCAAGAAGAGCUGCAUCAGUGUUUGACUUGCUUGGGCGAGAAAAUAUUGGUUGCCCUAGACACGUUAGCUUUGCACUAGUCCACUCAACGUCGUCCCCUCUCCCUUUGUUAAUGUCUUUACUUUUUUCUUCAUUUUUCCUUUUUACUUCUUCUUCUUCCUCCUUCCACUCUGUCUCUCCCUUUGUUAAUGCCUCUGCCUUCGCCUUCUCCGUUGCCUAUGCCGACCCUAGUCGAACUCAAAUCUGUUGAUUCGAGGUCAAGCUGACCUCUAAAUCACAAAUUUAGGGCUUACACAAUCUUAGAUAAAAAAAAUGAGGCUCAAAUUCGCCAGUGGAACUCGAGCUCGACAAUGCAGGAUAGACAGCGGUGAGGUGGUGGUGGAAGGCGAUUCGCGGGAUUAAGCUGAUAGUGAGUCUUAGUUGAGGCAUUUCCUUCCAGGCGAAGUGAAAGGAGGAGGUCUCUCACGGACUGAAAGGACUGAAAGGAGGAAGAAGAAGAAGGAGAAGGAGAAGAAGAAAGGACAAAAAGAAAAAAGAAGAGAACAAGUAAAAACAUUGAUUGAAGAGAAAGAGAGGGGAUGCGUGGAACAGUGAAAGCAGGAAGAAGAAGAAAAAAAAAAGGAAAAAGGGGAAAAAAAAGUAAAAACAAUAGUUGAAGAGACAGGAUGGGAGGGUACAUGACAAGUGGGUCCCAAAUUGACACAUGGCGGGGGUUGAGUGGACUAGUACCAAACUCACGUUUCUACACUUGGACACCCAAUAUUUUCUUGGGCAUUUGAAACCCCACAUAGAGUGAAGCCUAGUCACGGUCGUGGGGCUCGGUCUUGACGUUUUGGUUCCAGAAGAUUCUUACAGUCUCGACUGAUUUAUGCAAAAUCUGUGGAUUAAUUUAUUUUCGUAUAUGUUGGUCAUGACAACUGAAUAAAUUCUAUUGGCAUUACCUGAUUGGAAAAAUCUGCAUAAAAUGUACAGAUUGAAGUGUGUGUCUUUUUACUGUACAUUAGGGACUCACAUUGUACAAAAUGUCAGAAUAACGUCCGAUCGAGUGGGAGUCCCCUAUCGGACUGACAUUUUCUACAAUUUGGUUAUUUAGCGGAAAUGAAAAGACCUAUUGAUUUUAUAUUUUUGCAUCUAAUCAACAUGUCUAAGUUAACAUGUGUACAAAAUCAUUGAGUAGUGUGUUGGGCAAUGAAAUGUCCUUUUAUUAUCUCAACUUUAAUUUAGUCUAUGGCAAUCUAAACUACGAAUAUCGAAACGAAAGGUUGAGUGGUGAUGUUCAUUUUCUAGCAAUUUUUUCUCUAUGAUUUUUUUGUAACUUUAUGGAUUAUUAAUUUUAGAGCGAAUGGAUCAUCAUGCAAGAAAUUUGAAAAAACUAUGGAGGGAAUUUGUCGAUUUUAACAAGUUGAUGUAUGUACAAAUUAUUUAUAAAAUGAUUCAUGGAUAAUCAAAUAUUUGACAUAUCUUCAAAGCGAAUGCCUUUUUUACCUACAAGAUGUUUUUGGUCCAUCAAUAAUUUGACGAAUUAUUAGCUAUUGACUAUAUUCUUCUUAGUUUUCGUUUUAGGCUUAAAUAUAGCGUCGGUGCUGUAGAAUUGCUAUUGGUACUUGUGGUUGAGAGUAUGUAUAUCGAUGGUUUUACGGAAUAGGAUGUGAAUUACAUGCAUAAAAAAGUUCUAUGCUCAUUGAUAUUCUUCCACUUUUUUAUUUGGAAAUAACAAAAAUAUAUAGGGAAAAUUACUCAAUUAGUCCUAAACCUAUUAUACAUACGUUAAUUCAAUCAUAACAUUUCAACUUUGCUAAUUGAAUCAUAAAUGAAGAACUUACCAAAAAAAAGUCUUAAACCUAUUGCACAUGUGUCAAUUCAAUUUUAAAUCUUUUAAUUUGGUCAAUUUAGUUUUAGACUUUUUAUCAAUUGAGUCAUUCUUGCCAAUUUUGAUCAGAAAUCGUUAACGUGAAUACUAGAUAUUCUAUGUGCUACAGUCAAAGAUGACUUCGACAAUGUUUAUAAUUUUUCAAAUAUUUUUGAAAAUUAUUAUUAAUUUUUUUUUUUCAUUUUGCCAAUGAUAGUUACUAAUGACUCUUGUCAACUACGAUAGCUUUGCCUCGGACUACCGCAGUUGCAAAGGCCCAUACCCAAACCUGGCAAGGGCCUUCACACCCUCGCCCAAGGCCUUUGUAACUAGUGAGGGCCUUGCCAACAGCUCAACGGCCAUGUGACCAUCACCAGCCACAAUGAAAAAAAGCAAAGAAAAAAUUGAAAGGAAAUGCAAAAUUCAAAUUAAUGAUAAAGAAUUCAGCAAAAAUUUUAAAAAUUGUCUAGAUCAAUUUGGAUCAUGCCAUGUAAGAUGAAUAGUGCUCGCAUCAACAAUUUCCAACCAAAAUUGGCUUAAAUGACUUAAUUGGCAAAUUGUCAAAAUGCUUAGGACUAAAUUGACCAAAUUAAAAAGGUUUAUAAUUAUUGAUAAAAGUGUAAUAGAUUUAAGAUUUUUUUUGAUAAUUUUUUUAUCCUAAAUCUUUGUGUAAAAUUCCAAUGUAUUCCUUCGUGUCAAUUUUCACUUGAAAUCACUAAUGUCGCGGUCCAGUCAUCGUUGAUUGUCCAAUGUCGCAUGUCGCGACAUCAAUGACUUCCAAUAAAAUUGAUAAGAAGAAUUACUUUAGAAUCUCGUGCAAAAGUUUAUGACUAAAUUGACAAUAUGUUAUACUAUAUGCUUUGCUACAAAAUGUUAGGCAAAUGCAAAAUCAGUAAAUUUAAUAAAGAGGAUAUAUGUAAACUUCACGUUGGACUCAAACGGGAUGAUCUUGCCUCGCUGGAAAUGUGAUCAUGAAACCAUUUAAAUAAGAACCAUUGUUGCAUUUCCAUUAUAUUUGAUCCACUCAAAUGUACACGUGGGUUUAUUGUAAGUGUAAUUCACCUUGUGGUUGAUUGGUCUUUGGAAGAUGCCUCACUGAAUUACAUCAAGAUAACCAAAUAUUAGAAUUUAAUGGAUAAAUGCACCAAAAGUUCUGAAACUUACCACAAAAAAUAAUAAUUGAGCCUUAAAACUUUCAAAUGGUAUAAUUGAGUUAUGUUAAGAGAAAAUGAAAGGGGAAAAAUCAAAUGUGCCAAAAAAAAAAUCUAAGAAAAAAUAAUUAAAUACGAACCUCCAAAUAAUUACAAAGCUAGAAUCAAAGCCGAACCCAACAGAGGAAAAAAACAAUAAAACUGAAGCUAUUCAUAAAAUCGGUCGGUUGUGCAUGUUCACGAAGAAGAUUAGCUUUUGCCAAGGGAAAGAAAUGUGCAACGUCGCUUGGGCCCCUUCCAAGAUCCGUUUCCUCAGAGAAGAUAAGCUUUUUCAAGACAAAGGUCCCCGAACUUCCUAGAAUAUUAGUGUCCUUUUUGGGUAUCUACCUAACCCCUCCCCCUCCAAUUUGCAAUAUUCUUUUGCCAGCCUCUUACAAAACAAGAGUAUACAUAAUUUAUUCACACCUUGGUCACACUAUAGUUAGAACCCUGAAUGUUUAUCUUUUGACAAUGUUAUUCGUUUGGACUGGAAUGAUCAUAAUUGGACCACAUCUUUUGGCUAAAUAAGUGGAAGUAUUAUUAUUAAAAUUUAGCAAGUGGUUGAAACGCAUGUAUCUUAUAGUUAUUUGAUUAAGUCCAACUGUAAAAGUUGGCAAUAUAAUUUUAUAAAGCACAUUUUCUAGGCGCUUCCUAAUGACAAAUUCCAAGAAACACAUGCGUGCACAUUUAGUUAUUCUAUGGCAGUCGAUGUCAUCUUAAAGUUAAGUGAGCAAUUUAUUUAUUUUUUGAAUAUUGCAAAGAAUUUACAAAGUUUCUUUUUAUAUUAUUCUUUUGGUCGUUACAGUUUACAAAGUUCACUACUUUAUUGAGCUCAAAUUCGACGACAGCAAUAGAGAGAUCAGUUGGUUGCAUUGCGAUUUUGAUGGAAUCCGAAGGGAACUUCCACUAGAGCUUGCGACCAUGGCCGCUUGAGUUUCAUCAAAUUCAACCAUGGCCGAUCAAGCUUGACCAUGUUCGAUCAAAAUAAAUGCUUGAGCAUGAUCGCGGCCUUGUGAGCUUGGUCUUGAGCUUGUGGUAAAGAUUGUAUUUUUUUUUUCUACAGAGUUCAAGUUCAAUUCAUGUUAGUUGAUUCUUUAAGAAAUCUCGGGUAUCCACCUAAUUUCUCCCAUAAAAUCCUGUUAAUUUGUCUUGUUGAUCCUUUUGGACCCAAGUUUGAUAUACCCAUAUUUGUGGUAAUUUCUUUCGUGAAAAUCAAUCGGGGCUUUUAAAUUCACAUUUUUUUUCUAAUGUGGCAUUUACUAGUACGUCACAUGUCUUUAAAAAGUAAUAUAAAAACGACACCAGCUUUUUCUUUUAGCCAAAAUAGACGGAAUUAGCGGAAAGACUUCGUUACAUCAAUUUGAUAAAGUUUUAAAACUGAAUUACACUUUAAAAAUUUGUAGGAGUCAAUUGCAUUUUUCUAAUAAAUUGUAGGACUUAUGAGUCACUUAUCACAGAGUUUAAAGAUAAUUAUAGAAAUUGAGAAAAGACUUCAUUCGACCUAUUCAUAAGAUCAGGUCGGAUGUGUAUGCUUACGAAGAACAUCAGCUUUUGCAAGGGGAAAGAAAUGUGCAAUGUCGUCUGGGCCCUUUCUUGUAUCUGUUUCCAUGAAGAAGAUCAACCGUUGCAAGACAAAGAUCCCCGACCUUUUUAAAAUAUGAAUUUUGUACAUUUGAACUAAUGAUGAAAUAAGUGUUCUUUUUUGGGUAUCUACUCAACCACUCCCCCUCCAAUUUGCAAUAUUUUUUCCCACCCUCUUAUAAAACAAGAGUUUAUUCACAACUUGGUGACACUAUAGUUGGAAUCCCAAAUGUUUACCUUUUGACUUGACAAUGUUAUUUGUUUGGACUGGAAUGAUCAUAAAUGGACCACAUCUUUUGGCUAAAUAAGUGAAAGUAUUGUUUUAAAAUUUAACGAGUGGUUGUAAUUAAAUGAUGUAUGUAUCUUAUAGUUAUUCGAUUAAGUCCAACUGUCAAAGUAGGCAAUAUAAUUUAAUAAAGCACUUUUUAUAGGUGCUUCCUAAUGACAUAAAUUCCAAACAACGCAUGCACGCACUUUUAAUUAUUCUAUGGUAGUCGAUAUCAUCUUAAAGUUAAGUGAGCAAUUUUUUUUAGAAUAGUGCAGAGCAUUUACAAAGCUUUUUUUAUACUUUUUUGGUCGGAACAAUUUAUAAAGUUCACUGCUUAUAGUUGUCGCGUUAUCUAGUAUAUUAAUUUUAGUGAUUGACGAAAAAUUAUAGCAAACCUACUCUUGUUUCUAGUAACUUAAAUUAUUAUAGUUAUAAUAAUAAUCAUGCCGACAAUCUCGUUCAAGAAGUAGAUUUAACCACGACAAAUCCGAGCUCUUUCUACCGCCAUGGUAGUUUCAAUCCAUGAACCCUAAACCUUGAACUCCUUUGUCGCUCUUCCUUCAUCCUCCCCUUUACCAGGUUUCUCGGCUUUCUUACGCUCGAUGGAUCAUCCAUCCGUUAUGCCCAAUCCCCAAAAGUUCUACCCAAUUUCCUCUUUUCACCUCCGCUUUAACCUCACCACAAGCUGAAUUUGGCUUCCGAUCCUCAUCCGUAAUCCUCCUUCCUUUCUUUUUCGUUGGCUACCCCAGAGCAUUAGAGGUGCUUCGUGUAUGGGUUUUUUCCGUAUCCCAACCCUUUGCUGUUGCAUGCAUCACUUGCCCUGUUCCCAACACUCCUUUUCUUUACUAAUCUCGCUGCCUUGUUUGAUGGUCUAAUUGGCGGAUUGAGUUUUGCAGUCAGUCUUUCAUCUCCAAGCUAUGGUUUUCUUUAUGGUCUUCUUCUUUAAUCCCUGUUCUCCUUGCUGAUGUUGCUCUGAUCUGUCGUGCUAUAAAUGGAACACCCCAACUUGAACGAAGACGCUCGCCUAGCAGCUCUAUGCCAGAGGUUGGGUCGCCUUUGGCCUGAAAAGCAAGUUGAAGUCUGCAAUGAGGCUGCCCCAACAGAGAAGUUAGAAGAAUGCAAACUUAUGUUGGUAUGUAAAAUCCUGUCGAACCCCUCGGUAAACUUAUAGGCUUUCCAAACUACUAUGAACCGUGCUUGGUGCAUGGAAAAUGUUGAAAUUUCUCACCCUGAACUAGGAUUAUACAUUGCUAAAUUCACUAAGGAAGCUGAUAAGCUGAGAGUUUUGGAAAAUGGACCCUGGCUGUUCCAAUAGCAUCUAGUAAUUCUCAAGCCUUGGUUACCGAACACACCCCUUCAUUGCUACGACUUUACAACAUGUGCCUUCUGGGUUCAGAUAUUUGGACUACCUUUAGAGUGAUGCACUAAGGAUAUGAUCAAUAGAGCAGUGAAACAUGUGGGAAGAGUGCUAGAAGUGAAAUUAGCAACCAGAGAUGGUACCUACAGAGCAGGGCGCGCACGGGUAGAACUUAACCUUCAAGACCCUUUGAAACCAGGCCAGCUAAUUUGACUACGAGGAAAAAGUAUAUGGUUAGAUUUUUGCUAUGAAAAACUAUCCCAUUUCAGCUAUUCAUGUGGAAUCCUUGGUCAUUAUGCUAUGCACUGCAAAAGUUUUCAUUACGAUGAAGAAAAAAUGGACAGUAGAGAACAUUGAUAUUAUGGCCAGUGGCUCCGCGCUGACGUUAAGGAGCACAACCCCUUUUGGGUAGCUUUUUAUGAGAAGAAUAGCAACCAAGAAGAUAUUGAAGAAAUCAUGCCAGAAACUCCUCUGCCAUCGAACCUCCUUAUGCAAGUGGAUUAGGUCAGAAACGAUAAGGGAAAGGCACCUGCCGAGCCCUCUCCAGAUAAACCUUUUCUUACCUUAGCUAAACCACUUCAAUGGCGACAGCAGUCAGGCCUUUCAAAAGGCAUUUUACCAAUUCUGGAUGCUACCCCUAUAUCAACAUACAUCCAAGAUCAGUCUCCAUGCACAAUCAGAGAUUCCAAAUAGAAGAAAAUAAAAAGUACACAACAAUCCCCAAAGCAAGUCCUACAAAGAAAGUAAAACGAUACAAUCCUUAUGAGCCGAAACCUCAUGGACUGGAGGACUAUGAUGAUUCGCAUCUGAUGGAUACUCCCAUUGUUUCGGCUGAAGAACCUAACAGAUGGGCUGUGGUGGCUUGCCCGAAUAAGCCACCCAAGACAAAUGAAGCUCAUUAGCUGGAACUGUCGGGGUUUAGGCAAUCCCCUGACAGUUCGAGCUCUAAGGGCCCUAGUGGCCCAUGAAAAGCCCUAGCUAGUUUUUUUGAUGGAAACAAAGAAUAAGAGUUCAGUGGUGACAAGAAUCCAAAAGAGCUUAAAAUUUUAAAACUGUUUACUUGAAGAGCCUAUAGGGACAGCAGGAGGUCUGGCAGUGUUUUGGAAUGACAGUGUAUCCAUAUCCAUUGACAAUCAAUCACCAUACUACCUAGAUGUGAUCUGCAGGGAUAAGGAAACUAGGUGAACAAUGCGUCUCACUUAUGUUCACGCCCCAUCACUUUACAAUCAACGACAACACAUAUGGGAUGAGCUACGACAUAUUAGCAACUAUAAUACUUUACCUUGGGUGUGUGUCAGAGAUUUCAAUGAAGUCCUUUACCAUUGGGAGAAAAUAGGUAAGCGCCUUCCGAAUCAAUAUCGUUUGCGUUCUUUUCGUGCUUUCAUCGAUUCUUGUUCAUUUAUGGAGGUUGCAAGUAAAGGUUGCGCAUAUACUUGGAUUAACAAUAGAGAGGGAGAUGAGUUAAUUAAGGAAAAACUGGACUGUGCUCUUUGUACAAUGGAAUGGCAUCUCGCUUUUCUAGAAGCUGAGGUGUUUGCAUUACCUGCCUUGGGUUCGAAUCACAGCCCACUAUUGCUUACAACUGACGCCAAAAGUAUCAAACGGAGAAGAAGAUUUACCUUUGAAGCUUUUUGGCUUCGGGAGCAAGAAUGCCGUCAGGUGAUAGUUGAUUCCUAGCACUCCAAUAUAAGGUCCAACCCUACAUUUACAGAGAAAAUCAAGAUGGUUUCAGGUGCCCUUGCUAUAUGGAGUAAACACAAAUUUACAAAUGGUAAUCAACAGAUCAUCUGUUUGAAACAACAACUCCAUAAUAUUAUUAAUCAGCAGCACAACCAUCGCGACACUGCAGAAAUGACUCGACUACAGAUGGAAAUUCAACAACUUUGGCAACAUGAAGAGCAGUAUUAGGCACUGCGAUCCUGCAUUAACUGGUUAAGAUGGGGCGAUAAGAACACCAAAUUCUUUCAUGCCUCUACUAUUCAAAGAAGACAGAGAAACCAGAUAAGUAUGCUACAGGAUGCAGAUCAGAAUUGGAUUCGCGAUCAGCAACAACUAAAGGACAUAAUCAUUUUACUAAUUUGUAUACCUCAACGGGGAAUCGUGAUUAUGGGCCUAUUUUGUUGCAAUGCCCUCGGAUGGUUAAGGAGCAAAUGAAUGAUACACUAAUACAAACUGUCACUCAAGAGGAAAUCAAACAAGCAAUCUUUCAGUUGGGAGCGACUAAAGUGCCAGGGUCGGAUGGUCUUAAUGGUCUCUUCUACCAGCACCAUUGGAACAUUCUCAAGGAUGAUCUACUCAACUUGGUUAAAGAUUUUUUCUCAUUGGUGUAUUACAACCUAAACUCAACCGGACAACUAUAACUUUGAUUCCCAAAGUACCCAACCUAGAUCGACUCGACCAAUACCGUCCAAUUAGCCUUUGCAACUAUGUGUACAAGAUCAUUUCAAAUGUAUUAGCUAACCGUCUCAAACCUUGGUUACCGGAGUUGAUUUCCUUAGAACAAUCUGCUUUUGUUAGUGGUCGCCAAAUUCAAGAUAACAUAUUAGUUGUGCAAGAGGUCCUUCAUUAGCUUAGGAUCAAGGAAAAGAAGAAAAACUUUCAAGCAGUCCUAAAGUUAGAUAUGCCGAAGGCCUACGACCGGGUUGAAUGGGAUUUUUUAUAGGAUUACAUGCUUAGAUCGGGUUUCAAUUCGAUUUGGGUCCGUUUGGUCAUGCAGUGCGUUACUACUCCUUCUCUUAGUGUCAGCUUUAAUGGAGAUAACUUUCCAUAUUUUCAUUCGACUAGAGGACUCAGAUAAGGCGACCCCCUAUCCCCAUAUCUAUUCAUCCUGAUGGCAAAUGUAUCGUCCAUACUUAUCCAGCAAGCAAUGCAAAUGGGAAAUCUUAAAGGCAUAAAAUUAAAUAGGUGGUGUCCAACCCUCUCCCACCUGUUAUUUACUAAUGACACUAUUUUCUUCCUAGACGGCAAACUACAAGAAUGUCAGAACCUAGUGAAUCUACUCAACCAAUACUGCUUAGCGAUCGGCCAGACUGUUAACAGGAACAAAUCUAGUAUUCUCUUCAGCAAGGCGUGUCCUACCUGGCUACAGGAAAAUUUGGCCCGAGAACUCCAAGUUCCUGUGAUUACUAAAUCUAGUAAAUACCUAGGCAUGCCAUCAGACUGGGGAAGAUAAAAAAAGGACAUGUUCGCCUAGAUAUUAGCUCGAGUCAAUUAAAAAAUGGAAGGCUGGAAGCAGAAAUUCAUUUCAAAAGGUGGUAAGGAAAUUUUAAUUAAAACCGUCAUCCAAGCAACCCCACAAUAUGUGAUGUCUAUUUUUAAGAUCCCUAUUUCUCUGUGUAAAUCUAUUCAGCAGAAAAUUGCCAAAUACUGGUGGCAAAGUGACAAUAAUAGUAGAACAAGUAUAUAUUGGAAGCAAUGGGAUCACCUUACAACUCGAAAGGACAUUGGCGGACUGGGUUUUUGUGACAUCAUCACCUUCAAUAGGGCAUUACUUGGAAAGCAAGCAUGGUGUCUAGUUCAUAACCCGAAUUCCCUAUGGGCUACACUAUUUAAAGGUCUUUACUAUAAUUCUAGGGAUUUCUGGCAUGCUGAUAAAGGCGCAAGACCAUCUUGGGGCUGGCAAAGUCUUCUAACAGGCAGAGACACAAUAUAGGAUAAUAUUCAAUGGGCUGUAGGAGAUGGCCAACAAAUCUCAAUCCGUGAAGAUAGAUGGCUUUCGAGCGGAACCAUCGGUGGCCCUGUGCCCCGAGGUGAACCAAAGAAGUUUGUAGCUUUUAUCCUACUAGGUCAGUCUAUUUGGAAUGAACCUAUGCUGUCUAAUUCUUUCAACGACCAAACAGUGAAAGAGAUCCUAGCUAUAUAGCUUCGUACCCAAUGCACAGCUGAUCAAAUCUUUUGGAAAGGAACUCUAAAUGGAGCAUAUACAGUAAAGAAUUGUUAUAACAACCUUAGAGCUAAAGCACACAGCAAUGUACAAAGCAGCGGAUCAUCCUCCUACCAAACCCCUCCACAACUUUGGCGCAAGAUCUGGAAAAUGCAGACAUUCCCAAAGAUUAGGAUAUUUAUGUGGUCUCUAUGCCACAAUGCCCUUGCUACUCGUGAGAACCUUAAUCACAGACAUAUUAUUUUGGAUUCUACAUGCCAGUUAUGUCAAACACACAACCCUGAGUCAACAAAGCACUUAUUCCUACUUUGUCCAUGGACGCGGAUGGGUGGUAUGUGGCAUCCGAGAAUUUCAACUACACCAAUUAAGUAUAUAUGGAACAAAGAGAUGAAUAUUGACAUUGGUCAAAUUAAAUUUUGUACUGAAGGAGUGGAAUCCGGUUUUUGCUUGAAAAAUCGUGUAAUGUCUCUUGUUUGUGCGAUUCGACGAGAAAGGAAAAGAAACCCUGUCACUUGAUCGAAAAUGUUUCAUGUAAAGAUUUUGGUUAUAUAUAUAAGAGUAUAGAUUUAUUUCUUUGGUUAUAUAUUUAUGCUUCAUAAUUAUGGGCCUAUAUUUUUGGGGACCAUGGGCUAUUUUAGUUUGGACUUUUGGCCUCAUAAUUUUGGGCCCAAGCAGGCCCAAAGAGCCCCAAGAGUGUCGACCAAAAGAGAAGGGGGAGAGGAAGGAACUGGAUGGAGAGAAGACUAUGCCACCCUCUCCAGUUGUAAUCAUCAUGAAGCCACCUGUCCAUCUCACAAGCACACUUGUCCUUGGAUUGCCCCAUUAAUUUUCCACUUGUUCUCCUCAUGAGAACAUUUGUACCUUACAUGCAAAAAUAGAGAUUAAUUGUUAAUCAAAGAGCAAAAAGGGAGGGGGGUUUCGGAAGUGAGAGGGAGAGAGAGAAAGGGGGGUGAGCCGAGCAACUGAGUGAGAGAGAGAGAGAGAGAGAGAGAGAGAGAGAGAGAGAGAGAGAGAGGGUUGAGUGAGAGACUGAGAGAGGGGGUGAGCGGAUGUUCGGACGUGAGCCGCGAGAAGGAGGACUGCCUUCCGCCGAUGACGUGCUGCUGCCAUCGAGCCCGCCUUGCCCCGCCGUGUGUUUGCUGUGAUUUUUGCUUGGAUUAGAGGCAAGUACAGUCCUAAAACCUACCCUUUGCUUGCUGUGAUGUAUGUAUAGAAGAUGGUGAAUUUUGGUUGUGGUGGAUGUGAUGAAAGGUCAAAGCUUUGGGGAGAAAUUCGUUGGCCUAGCAUCUGUUUUCUGGAAAAAUCAGUCUGACCCUUCACGAUUUUGUGAGCUGCAUACAAAUUUUUAGUUGGAAUCUCGCUUCGAUCUCUCAUGAAAGUUGUAGAGAACAUCUUGAGGGAUAACAUACUAAAAUUUGAGACAAAAUGGACAAGGAUUGCCUGGUGAAAUGAUUUUCCUUUGGAGAGAUUAGAUCUGGAAUUUGUUGUGCUGAUCUUUAGUGAUUUCGUGGACUGUAAAGUAGCUUUUUUGCGAAAAUCUCACUUCGAGUUCUUAAUGAAAGUUGUAGUGUACUUUGUGAGGUAAAACAUAUAAAAAUUUUAGAGGAAAUGAACAAAAAUAGGUCAGUGAAAUCGUUGUCCUUUGAAGAAACUGGAUCUGGGAAAAUGCUACCUCGACCUAGUAUGAUUCUGCGAUUUUUAUAAAAUCCUACAGUUAAAAUUUAAUCAUGUGUACUUAAUAAAAGUUGUAGGUAAUAUUCUGAGGUAUAACAUACUGAAAAAUUAGAAGAAACGAAUAUAUGUAGAUCGGUGAAACAAGUUUCAUUUGAAAGAAGAUAAUCUAGAAAAAAGACACCGAGAACAGGUGGAAUUAAUCAUCUAUAUCUGUUAAUCUAGACCAAUUUGGGGUUUUAUUGCUUCAUGAGAUAUUUACCCUUAAGACUUUUCUAUAACAUAUAAAAAUUUCAGAAUUUUUGGAGUUCAUUUAGAUAUUUAAUUUAAAUUACUUCCGAAACUGUGCAAGCUGAAGUGUUAAAAUUUUGAAGACUGUGAUGCAUGGACCGUACUGUUUUGUGUGAGAUUCUUUUGGUAUGGUGGUCUUCACGAAAUAUUUUCCUCUAGAUAUUGUAUAUAACAUGUAGAAUUUUUAGAAUUUAUUAAGGCUGUUUACUAAUUUUUCAAGAAUUAUGACCAAAGGAGUGCAAUCUGCUUUUAUCCGAAAAUUGCUGCACUUUAAAAAAUAAGUGAAUUUGCUCCAUGUGAUAUAAUGUAUUGAGUGGUUGAUUAUGCUGCAUAUAUGGUGAUGUUUGGCAUAUCACGUGACAUCAAAAGAUGGUUUAGAUCUUUGAUAUUGUUGCAUCAAAUGCCAUGAUGAAAAUGAGAUAUAUAUAUAUAUAUAUAUAUAUAUAUAUAUAUAUAUGAGAUUAUAUAUAUAUUGUGAUAAUAACGAGACCGUGGGAGGUGUGAGCCGACGAUGCCCCGGGAGUGUCGGGAUGCCCAAAGUCCGUGUGCCGAAUGUUCUCGGGAGUUUCGAGAUGCUCGGUAGUAUACGGUACGUAAUGUCCAGGGGGAUUGCCUAGUGGUAUGGCGGUACGUAAUUCCGGAAGCCCUGGAGGUGUGUGCCGGGGGAUUCCUCGUGAUGCUAGUUGGGAUGCGAGAUCCCCGGAGGUGUGUGCUGGAUGCCCAGAGGUGUGUGCCAGAGGCUCCUCGCGAAUUCAGGUUGGAUGCGAGCGAUAAAUUGUGGGAUGCAAACAUUGGUCACUGGAUGAAAAAUAAUGAGAUCCUUGUGAAAGAUAAGAAUUGAAAUUGAAUCAUGUGCAUGUGUGUAUGCAUAUGGCAUGAUGCAUAAUCUGCUUAUGAAAGUAAAUUGAUGCUAUUUGAUAUUGAAAAUGCGAUCAUGAAGGCAUGAAUGGAUCUCAUGGUGAUGUAUGCUAAAUAGCAUGGAUGAUACGAAUCAUGGUGAUAUAUGCAUGAUGGCAUGGCAAGAUAUGCAUGACUGCAUGGUAAUAUAUGCACGAUAGCAUGGUGAUGUAUGCUUGAUAGCAUAAAUGAUAUGUGCUUUACUUGUGAUAUCUUGAUUGUUUUGCUUGUUGCAUUGUGUAGUUUGGUGGAUCUUUACUGCUAAGUGGUUGUACUCACCCCGUUUGGGGACUAACAUUUAAGACUAGAUAAGUACCUCUGCUGCCACUGCCACUGAUAGAUGGAUCGAGUGGUUGGAUAUGAUCGGGAGGAGAAGGAUAGCAAAGGAAUGAACUUUUGGACGCCGACACUGAUCGAUGGACUUUAAGUAUAUGACUGUUGGAGGAGAUGUCGGUCAUCUUUUGAAGUAUAGCCGAGUAUAGAAGAUUAUGGCAUUUUGAUGUACCAAUGAAUGAUGUCCAUCUGGUUUAAGUAAAUAAAAGUGUUUGGCUUUUACCUAUAAAUGUCUUAAUUGGUGUGCAUCGUUUUCUGAAUAUAGGGAAGGGAGUUGUUGGAUAUGCUUCCGUUAUAUGAACUGCGCAAGGGGCUGAUCUAAAAGAUGUAAACCCCCAGGUUGUAUGGACCCGCUGCAAUUGAAAUGGUAUCAGAGUGACAUAUUAUCAGGUUAAGUGAAGGGUAAGUGGUCUGUGGCGACCCUAAUGGUUCGGGGUCCGUCGAGGGGUGCCACAUGGUCUCACCAACAGAUUAACAUCACACCAGAGGAACAUAAUAUCCAUCGUAUUGAUGCCUGGUUAAGAAAUCUAUUAGCUCAGAGAACUGUCUUACUUGAUUUGGCGACGCUCGCGUAUAUACUGUGGCAGAUUUGGAAAGCGAGGAAUAACUUCGUCUUUUGCACAGUUCGCCCAGAUCCAUUACAGGUGGUUCAAAUUGCUCUUGUGAAUGCCCUUGUAGAUUGUCGCCUAUAUGAAGUGCGACUGGAAUCUCCAAUCCCAUCCUCUGAAUCUAAUCGGGUGUGGCGAACUCCGGCUCUUGGAAUCUUGAAGAUCAACAUUGAUGGAGCUUUUAUCCCAACGUCUCAUGAAGGCUCUGUGGCCUUGAUUACUCGAGAUCAUACUGGUCAGAUCGUUGCUAGAUUUACAAGGCGUGUCGCGGCCUCUUCGGCGCUGUAGACGGAAACUCAAGCUUUAAAUCUCACCCUUCGAGAAUUGUUGCAAAAAGGACAAGCGGAUCGAUCUCUUACCUUGGAAUCGGACUGCAAGAACUUAGUAGAUGCUGUGAAAAACCCUCACUUAACGCCAUGGGAGAUACGAGCACUGAUUGCAGAGGCUGCGGCGUUGCUCCAAGGGUUUCCUAAUCUGUGUGUAGUACACUGCCAUCGAGAAGCGAACGAAGCCGCCAACUGGGCUGCCAAAACCCACGAAGCUGGAAGCCCUCCGAAUUGGCCCUUUUCUAUUCCCCCUCUUUUGGAUAUUGUCUCUACUGACCUUAUGGCAAAUGGUGUAAAUCAUCGUUAAUGUUAUAAAAUAUUUCCUUUUUCGACCCAAAAAAAAGGUCAAUCCAAAGUUUGAUACGUGAUGCGACCUUCUUUAGACACAAGGUUCCAAAGAAAAGACAAAAUUUGCGCAAAUUUUCAAUCAUGUGAUUGAUUCUUUAUCCCGAGUACAUUUAAUAGCCUAACAUCGCAAUCAAAUUGAACAUUUCCUACAAAGAGCUGAUUAAAAUUAGUUGAUUAUUUUCAAAUAAUUUCUCGUGCCAACAAUCAUCCUCAUACAUCCACGAUGAUGUUCAACUUAUUAUUUUGAUGGAUUGUGAACAAUCAUCGCAACUUCCAGUAGCUUUCUCUUCCAGCAUGGAGAAUAUGCUAUGAUAUCUUCAUUCCUCCUUCCGUCAGCUGAAGAGAUCCCAUAAGAAAUAUAAUAUUUCCAAUUCCAUAAACGAAUUCAAAAACCGAUUUCCAUCAUCCACACCUCCAUUGAAGAGUUAAAAAAAAGAAAAAGCUCAUCUAAAGCAUGUCAAAUUGGCAUCGCAAGUUGAUUUAUUUACGUCAAUAUCGCAAGUUGCGUCGACUCCUUCCAUGUCAACAUCGCAAGUUGGCAUCCAUUUUGGGCUUUGACGCUGUUAACUACAUGUGCUCUUUUACACAUCAAAUUGAUUUAUUUCCAUCAUCCACACCUCCAUCAAAUGGAUUUUUGUAUGACAUAUUAUUAUUAACGGAUGGUAAAUGGUCCUUUUAGUCAAUGUCAUUGAGAAUUUCGCCUCUAUUAAUGUACAAAUAAAUUUUGAAUCACUUAUGGGACAAAAUAAUACAUUAUUUUGAAUCGAACAUAAACUUUUCACAUGCCGAAACAUAUGUUAAAGUCAAAGCUUAUUUCGAUGAUCCAUAAUUGCAAAAUUCGCCACGCAGUACAGAUGAUUUAUUUCCAUUGGUAUAUCAAUGGCCGUUGCCCUAGCAAUGAACUCAAAGCAAACAACAUCCUGAUCAUGACACGGAACAAGGAGGCAUGUCUUUGGGUGGUGGCAGCACCUUCUGAUGUUUUUUUGCCCCAUCUCCAACGACAAUGACUGUGUCCAUCCCCCAGCUCGCAUGGCGUUCCAAGUGACAGUGCAUGAACCACACCCCUACAAGCAGCCGUAAAAGAAUAAUCUGUCAAAUGUAUUCAUAUACAUGUCUAAAUCCGUGCAAACUAUAUGUUUAUAUGCGUUUCUAUUGAUAAAUCAUAUUACCUGGAUUAUCAGCUUUGAAUCUAAUGGCUGUCCACCCAUUUUUGGGGAGUCCGACAGUGUUAAUGUAAGGUGGAUCGACUGUAUUAUACUGCGAUACAUAGGAGUCGCUGAAAUUUCCAUCGCCCAUUCCGACGACAUAAAAGCUGUAGCCGUGUAAAUGCAUGGGGUGAUUCUCCGCUGCGAAAUUGGUCCCCUGGAAUCUUAUUUCGACCUCCUCAUUAUAGUUAAUCAUCAGCACUUCGGUGCUCACAUUGGCAGCAUCUCCUAAGGCUGAUACAUUCCCGGUGUAGUCAAACACGAAAGGUGGUGUAUCCGGAAAAGUUUUGUUGUAGACUCCUUGGAGAUUGCUGCACGCACCACACAAACAUAAUGUUAUGACACAAUUAGAUGUUGAAUUAUGCCUUUGCUUUAAGACAAUGAAGGCUUAAAUCAUUCAAAUUGGUUUGAUUUGAAGAAUAUUUCAGCCUGAAUCAACUCUAUCGGUCGGAGAUACUAACAAAUAUGAUCAAAAUUGGAAGGUCUAGUGAUUUACGUACUUGUAGUAAGCUUGGAGAAUGCUAAUCGAUGGAGCCGAAAAACUUAUGUUAUUCAAGCUUGUUGAAAGCAUGUUGCCCUGUGGACCAGUACAUGUUUUAUUAGCAGGACAUGGCUGUUGAUUCACGGCCACCGUGAUCGUAAUGUUCCUAGUGAUUUUGGUUGGAACCUUAGAUGGAUGCUCUUUGCUGUUCAAACUCCUCAACUGAACAGUGAAGUUUCCAGCGUCACUCUUGUUAGUAAAACCUGGAAGCUCAGGUAACAAAGGAGUCUCCGAGUGGUUAUAAUUGCCAUUGUAUUGAACUAUUGCCCUCGUAAUGUUUUCAUUUAACGGGGCACCGGUAUCCAAGAAUGGGCUAAAUACCAUGUAAUAACGACCAGGGGCUUGAUUUGCAGUUACCAAAACAUCCAUCGUUUGACCAGGAGUUAUCAUGAGGUAAUUGGUCUUAAGCAGUUUCAAAUAAGCUCCAUCCAUUCCGACCACAGUGAGAUUGUGCUUGGCUAUGCCAAAGAACAUCUCUUCGUUCAUCCCAGAGUGGAUGAUUCGGAAGAGAUACGUUUUUCCUUGCACAACUGUUAUAUUGUAUGCCGACCCUAUGAAAGAUUAUAAAAAAAAAAAACACUAUAUUAAAUAGUAUUGUCAUAGAUCUUGAUUAGUUUUAAGGAAUAACAAUCUUGCAAGAUCUCAUUUCAUUAAUAUAGAGUAAAAAGGUUUUAUUUCAUUACCUAUGAAUACGAGCUUUUCUUUUUAAAAAAUAACAUAUAUCACACUCAUAAAUACACACUAGAAUUCAUACCAUUAGAGCAUGAGUAACUGUCUCCUGGUUGACCAUUGAUGGUAUAGGCCACGGACAAGUCUGGAUCGCCUCCGGUUGCAAGAGCCUCAUCGAUUAUAGCCUUCGUAUCUCUGGCAUACCAUUCAGCUACGUGCCAAAUUAGUUUUGUUAAGAAAAACAAUUCAAGCUACUACUUGUGCAUGUUUGAUUAAGAGAAAAACUUAUUUAUGUCAUUUAAGUAGAAUACCAAUCACAAUUGUGUGUUGUUCAUCAAACUUGUAAGGGUAGUUGGUGUCAUUGACAGGCAAAAUAAUUAUAGGGCCAUGUACAGUGGCCCGUGUCCAAUCGCUAUGAGCGUGCCACCAUAGCGUGCCUUCUUCUUCAGUGAGUAUGACUUUCUGAAGGAAGCUUGAGUUUGUAGGGAUUGGGCAUUGUGUGAUAUUCUCUGGGCCAUCAGACCAAGGAUACCUUUUUUCUCUCACUCCGUGCCUACACGUGUGUGUAAUAUUAGGAGAUUGGGAGGGAGGGAAAAGAGAGAGGGUGGAGGAAGGGUGGUUUUAUUUUUACCAAUGAAUAGUGACUCCGUAAGGUCCUGUAUUGGUGACAUUAACGUAGAUGGUGUCACCCUUGUGAGCACGGAUCUCCGGUCCAGGAAACAAACCAUUCACGGUCAAUACAGAGCGAUUUGUCUCACACAACAUCUUAAUAGGUGUCUCCUUCACCUGCAACAAAUAAAAAAUCAUCCUUUAAUAUUGUACCGUCAAACAUCUUAAGUAAUCUCUCUUAUUAAAUUGAUGCCAAAGCGUUUCGGUGUAUCGCAGCCUACAGAUAACAUUAAGUAAUUUAGGGGCCGGCGUCUGCACUUGCUUCAAGAAUAAAGACCCAAACGGGUUGGAGAUCACUUCCCAAAUGAACAAAUAAAUAAAUUAUACAACUGUGGACAUUUAGGGAUUACUACCAGACUCUCAAGAAGAUAAAAUCAUCAGAAAAAUGCAUGUAGUUUUGGUAUAUGAAUGCUGUAAUACUGGGCCUCGAGCAUAGUCCAAGAUCUAGAUGUGAAGAUCAUCCAUGACGAGAGGAGAUUCUUGUCUUGAAUAUCCUAAUACCAUAACAUCUACGAAUCAUGAGAUCGUAAAACUUGUAACAAAUGCGCUAGUAGUCACUAAAUGAUGUGUAUGGCCCAAAAAAGACACUUAAAAGUGCUCCACAAGGAGAUGUUCCUACUCACCACGAAAUCAUAGCGGAGGACUUUGCCUUGAGCCAUGCAAAAGAGCAGGGUCAGAGUGAACCCAAACCCUAGAAAUCUGCCCAUCGUCUCUGUCUCCCUCUCUCGCUCUCAACAAGACAAAAACGAACUUGUACGAAUCACUUGAUCCAGCACAAAAAAGGGGACUUGUGUUUCGCUCGGCCUCUUUCUUCUUGUGACCUUCACCUUCCAUUGAAGGGGGCUCUUUAUAGGGAACUUCUUUUCGUAUUUGGUUUUCUCAGUCGAGAUGCUCGCUGUCUGCCCCACAUGAAAACGAAUUCGUCGGGUUUCCGCAAAAACACGUGUCCUUGACAUUACAGCCAAUGAAAGUUAAAGAAAGGAAAAACCGGCAUUUCUCUUUCAAAGGCUUGUGCUAAUUUUUCCCGUGUUUCCACGAAGAAGAAGAGGAUCGGUUAAGGAGCACCGCCGAGCAACGAGCUGAUAAACUUCCCACGACUUACUUGGUCAUGCGGGCAAGAAAGAAGAGAGAAUUUAAAAAUACAUUUCCUUACGCGUUCAUCAACUGCUUCAAGAGUCAUUACCGAUUCUCCUUUUGUUCUUUUCUGGAGACAAUCGGCGUCAACGUUUCCGUGGAGGAUUGCUCGUGAAAAAAGUUCCACAGCCACCUCCCCACGUUGUUCUUCUUGGACACGGGUUGACCAGUCCCAUGAUACUUCGGAAAAUAGAGCUCCUAGAAGUCGAGAGAUAUUCGGUUCAGCAGAGAAAUCUGUAUUUUGCAAAGAAAAAAGAAGCAUACGAGAAAAAUGUUUCUCCUUGUCAUUUACCGAACACAGCAAACCAGGAGAAAGAAAACUCGUACUGAAGUCUAGUUUAAAGAGCCUUUUCGGAGCAUAUGUUUCGGUCAGGUUCAGCAAUAAAAAAACUGAACUUUCUUGUAACUUGUUUAAACAAAAGUUUUACAAAUCGAAUCAUUCCUUAUAGUGUACGACUAUCUUUUGACAAACUCUUAUGGCAUGACAAACUUUUAAAGCGUGUAAAUACUUAUUUUCUCUUUUGCCAAAGAAUUUGUAGAUUAUUGAAGUAAAAAUAAAGCACAAAUAUUACCAUUCUCCUGAAGAUAUCUAUCAAUUUUCCAUGAGAUCUAUAUGUUAGGGGUUUACCUAGACCGAGGUGUCUCAAUUCCUUCCCGAAACAGAAACGUGUACGAAAUCUCUCUAUUGAUCUUGUUCUUGAUAUACAAGCAUUCAAAGUGGAUCCAGAUCAGAGACAUUACAAAAGUCCCUAUUAAAAUAUGUUCUAGAAGCUGACUAUAUAUGAUUUGAUUAAUGACACGCGGUGUGAAUCAUUAAUUUGACAAGGGUUUUAGUCGGUGUGUUUAUGAUUUAGGGAGCCUACUAGAAAUAUUGCCUUUAUAAAAGUACUCCCCCGCCCAAAGAAAAAAAUUUCACAAAAAUAAAGGCCCGCUAAAAGCACGCCUACUAUAAUCAAUCAUAUUAGAAAUAUCAAUUAGAGCAUAACACAUUGAUUAUCUAGCAAAUAAUGCGUCCCAAUCCAUAUAUCAUAUCCGCUAUUCAUGAUAUAUUUGAGAUAAUAUUCUAUAUCAAAAAUGCCUCUAAGCACACAAUCCAUAUGAAUUAUUAGAAUACUACAUAAAAUUUCAUAGAGUUGAGCCUAAAAGUGCUGUAAGUGCUUCAAAUUCUAACAAAAAUGCUAGCCAAACAAUGCCGUAAGUGCUUCAAACUAAUGGUGCAUUUUGAGCCUUUAGUAUCACUUCAAAAGGCAAUAGGCUACUGAACAUUUAUUAUUAAUAAUUUAGCUUAAUCAGAGCAAAAUUGCAAGCAUUUUAUGGAAGAGAGAAAUGAACAACUUUUUUUAAUUUAAAAAAAUAUCGAUAUGAAAUCUAUUCCAUAUGAGACAACUUCAAGUUCAUGUAGCAAAUUUGAAAGGCAAAGUUAAUUCUCAAAUAAAAAAUUAAUGGAAUCCUAGGCAAUGGGAUUUGGAUAUUGAUUUCUCAAUAAAACGUACAAAACCUAACACUUUCCUUGGGAUAAUAUGGGGUCAAGACCGUCGUUACUCUUGACAGAGUAACAAUGCAGCCAUCUAAUCUUUUUCCCAUGAUUUAUUUGAAGUUUUGCUAAUAUAACAGUCUUUAGAUUACUAUAAUUAUAACAAUUUGUUAUGAGUCAUAAAAUUUUGAAAGAGUGGAUCUUACAAUAAUAUAUAUUAUUUAUUAUUUAAUUUUUUGUGAUAUAGAAUAGAUUGUUAUUCUCACAAUAGAUUAAAAACUAUCACCUAAUCAUUUAUUUUUAUUUUGCAAGUUGCACAAGCCCUUUAUAAUAGCUAGGAUAUAGAUGAUUGGACGAGAUGCAAGUGGUCGACUUUCUUUACAAAAAUUGAAAUGGAACGACACCAACCCACCCACCCCCAAGCGGGGCGGACCAACCCAGCCCCCGCCCCUCUCCCCCCGCGACAGGCCGUGGAUCUCCUACAACACGGGUGAUUCGAUCACAGCACUUUUCAACAAAACAUGGUCUAAAAUAUUGAGGGUAUUGGUGUUCAACAUGUGUUCAACAUUGCUUUAUAUAAGUUAAAGAUAUUUUUUCGAGUGAUUUAAGUUAACGUCAUAAACAUUGUCACACAAUAUUAGUAUCCGUAGAACUUUUAAGGGAAAUCUCGAAUAAGAUAUGAAGUGGGGUCGUUUUCUGAAAAGAGGGACCAGUGAACAUUAUUCAUAUAAGGCCUUGAAAUAUCUAAUUUGUUCUCAAAUAAGGCUUGGAGCUCCCUAGUCAACUUGGUGAUUCAUGAGCCAAUUAACUCCAGACUUUUUGGCUUAUUCAUGGGAACCUAAUUUAGAGUAGUGGAUAUGCAAUUGAUGAAAUUCAAAUCUAAGACCUUUACUUCCUAGCUGAAAAUUUCCAACACCCGAAUCAAUUGAGAGAACUUCUCUAUCUUUCCUUUUUGUCUAUUGCUUAAUUUAAAUCGUGCGACGGACACACUUUGACUUAUCAUAAAAUAUCUAAAACUCUCACAAUAUACAAAUUUGACACGUAAAUUUGCAUAUAUAUUUUUUCGUGACUUUUGAAAUUUAGAGAUAAUUCUAAAUUUUGAAGGAAAAAAAAGGGCCUUUUCUGCUUUUUAUAAUAAGCAAACAAAUACAUUUUUUUCCCCUUGAGAGAAUGUAUCAUCGAUAAAUUUAAAAGUCAAUGGUUCUAAGUGAUUGGUCCUCACAGCCUCUACGCCUCUCUAGUAGACACAUUUGUACACUAUUAAUUGCACAACAUAAACACUCCAUCCAAAUCAAUCAUGACAUAUCGAGUAUUGAAUAUUUUCUCUCUUUCUUUCUAAUUGAUGAACUUUGACACAUAAUUAUCAGAUUGGGAGCACGGAAAUGUCUUACAUUGCAUCUAAAAAUAUCUCCUCAUCGAAGAUCUGCUCCUACCGAUGAGGUGACGAAAGAAUGUACGAGGAAUGAAACUGAAUGCGUAUAAUUUGAGGUGUGUGGACACUUGAUGCUCUUCCCUUGAUGUUGCCUCUGAAACCGGAGAAGAUCCCUAUCCCAUGGAAGUUUCCUCGUGCUUUUCAAUACCAUUUCAUGGGCAUGUAACUCAUUCUUUAAGCAAUCAUUUCUAAAUCGACAUGUUCCCUGCGCAACACGACAUCAUUUCAUGCUCGGACAAGAAAUCCUAAAACACGUUUCGCACCACAAGCGCCGUGAUUGCAACUUGAUAUUUUCCUCGGACAAAUACAAUGUUCCAAAGCACCUAUGAGAAGCAAUGGUUUACCUUUUAAUUAAUUAAGGCGCUACGAAAAAUUUCAAAAUUGCCGUAAGACUAAUGGAACUUAUUAUCAUGGCAAUAAAAGAAGAACAAAAUACCGGAGCUUAUCAUCAAUGCAUAUAAUAAUAAGACAUCUUUAUGAUAUAAACUAGAGUUUACCGUGGCGAUUAUAUAAAAGGGUUAAUACCCUAAAAAACCCCAAACUAGUACAUUUGUGACAAAUUUACUCCAAACUAUUUUUUUGACCAUGAAAAACCCCAAACUGGUACACUUGUGACAAAUUUACUCCGACUGACCAUAAAAAAACCCUAAACUGGUACAUUUACGACAAAUUUACUCUAAACUAAUUUUUUCAACUGCAAAAAACCUCAAAUUGAUAAAUUUGUGACAAAUAUACCCUCUGCUAAAUUAGAUUAAUACCACAAAAAAAAUCAAAAAAAUUGUAAACUGUGGCAAAUGAUGCGUAAAAUCCUAAAUUGAUAUAUUAGUCAACUGUCACGUGUAAUUUAAUUUAAUAAUUUGACAAUAAAAUUUAACGAAAAUUGACAUAAGGUAAAUUUGUCACAAGUGUACCAAUUUGAGGUAAAUUUGUCAAAGGUAUACCAGUUUGGGGUUUUUGGUGGUAAAAAAAAAAAGUUUGGGGUAAAUUUGUCACAAGUGUACCAGUUUGGGGUUUUUCAGGGUAUUAACCCUAUAUAAAAUGUCUUUAUUGUAAUUUAGGAAUGUGGAGGAAAGAUUAUUCAAAGAAUUAGUAGCGUUGGUAACAUAAUCAAGAACCAUAGGCCUCAGAAAAUGUGAGAUUCUAAUUAAGUUGUGAGGAUAUAAAUCCUCUUAAACGUUCUAAUUUAUGCGUGAAAUUUUCAACUUUCAGCCAAAUUAAUGGAGUGGGUUGCUCUCCUAUCACAUGAUAAUAACAACACGAAGGCAAAACAAAGUUGGGAAGAUUGAAAAUGAGCUUACGUUGUCUUAUCAUCAAGCUUGUUCUUGUGGAAUUAUCUUGCGUAAUCGACGAUCAAAACAUUAAACAAGGUCACGUGGGGCAAUUAGAAGAUAAGCGUAACGUGGCCAACCUGUUAAUCCCUAUAAUCGAGGAUUAACUUAAUUUGUGGCCUGCAUCGAAGUGACCUUGUUCUUCAAUUUAUUAUAAUAUACCGUGGGCCGACUAGAAAGUUGAACAUGUUGUGUUUCAUGUAAUAAUUAUAUUCGCUGUAUGACACGCCUUUUCGGGUCAACUAUGUAGAACUAGACGACAUAAAUGAGAUCAUCCUGGUCCAAGAGAAACCAAUGAUUCGGUCCAAGGUAGUGAAGAAACCUUAGACAAGAAACGGUGCAUAAAAAAGCCGGAUCCUAGGAGGGCAGAUCGACUGUGGAAACAACAGGCUUCUGGUUCAGUAAAUGGACGAACUAGUUAGCGAACUGGGUCACUAAUCAUGACUAGGGUUUUGCUUCUUAGCAAUUGUUGUGUAGAGAUUUAACAUUUUCACCCUCGGCUCGAGCAAAACAUUGCAUGACUUAUAUAUAGAUCAUGUAGACGAAGUCCAUUUCUACCAUUGAUUAUGUAAACUCCAUAAUUAAUGGUUGAGAUGGUAUUGAUUCGUGUGAUCUAUAGAAACAUGCAUGCGAUGACUUCUAUUUUUUGGAUGGUGUGUAAUAUUAUAUCAAGAUUAGGAUUAAAUAGUUGUUUUCUUUGUUGCUCGUUUUUGACCCGCUAAUGCGCGUAUGGAACGUGCAUCGAUUAACUUGCUUAGAGAUCGAUCAAGAGUAGCCUAGCUCUACCACUCUAGAUGCAUGUGUCACCGGUUGGUCGAUUCCGAUCGAUCAAACACCGUGCGGCCUUAAGAUUUCACUCCCAAGUCAGCCUCACAUGCACAUGCACGAGCAUGAGGGUCGGAUGCUCAAAGGAAUGAAUGUAUUUGCUUGUGAAUGAACUGAGUACAAUGAGCGGGAGGGACCCCUAUUUAUACAAGUGCAGGAUUCAUCUCAUUUAGUUGAUCUUCCCUCCAAUCCAACGGUUGUGUUUGAAUACAAGCCAUCAUUACAAGUUUGUACACUAGGCCACUCAAUGGCUAGGCCUUGGGAAGCCCAUGGGCAUGUGUCAAAAGCAAGAUCAGGAUCAGUAGGGCCGCCUGACAUGAAGCAACUGAACGGUCAUGGGCUUUUGUCCGUAUUGCGCAUGGGUCGAUCCUGAGUUGAUCAUGGAUCGUUCAUGGAUCGGUCAUGGGUUGCUCAUGGGCUGCCCAUCGUGCGUGACACGGCCCCAUCCGAUCGGUCUUGGAUCAUGCUCCCUUCGUGGGCCGUGUCAAUCUCCCCCACCUAAUCGGGCAACGCCUUCAUCGCGUCUGUGGCAUGGAAGGCAUCGAUGUGUUUCUUGAACUACCAGAGAGUCUCGAACAGCUCCCAACUCGCUUCACUCUCGGGAAGGCCCUUCCGUCAGACCAGGUAUUCCUUCUUUGGUGCACAAUAUCUCUUCCGUACGACGCGAUCUGCCAUGAUGCAUUCAACAUGAGGAGGUUUUCGCUCCAAGGGGUGCCCAUUGUGAUUCUCCUCAAUCCAAAUCUUCCUUGUCCGCAUGAAAAUGUUUUAGCAUAUUCACAUGGAACACAGGGUGUACCUAAAGCUUGGCCGGCAAGUUCAGCUUGUAUGCUACCUUUCCAAUCCGCUGCAACACUCAGAAGGGGCCUUCAUAGCGACGGAUCAACCUUUUGUGCACGUCUUAAUACUGAAGAAUCAAGUGCAGCUUAGCCAACAUCAAGUCUCCGACCUGAAAUUCCACGUGCCAUCGCUUCUUGUCGAACCACUUCUUCGUGCGCUUUGCAGCCCUAUGUAGGCACGCUUGUGCCAAGUCUGCAUGUUCAUCCCACUCCUUAGCGAACUUGUACGCAGAUGGACUACUCCCUUGAUAUCCUGAGGCUAUCGCGAUUGGUGUAAGUGGUUGUUACCCAGUCACGAUCUCGAACGGGCUUCGAUUCGUGGUUCACUUCGCUGCAAGUUGUAGGAGAAUUGGGCCACGACGAUCAGCCAUGCCCAAUUCACUUGUGUGUUGCUCACGUAGUGCCGAAGGUAGAUUUCCAAGAAAACGUUCACCCUUUCCAUCUGCCCAUCGGUUUGGGGAUGGAAACUCAUGGAGAAAUUGAGGUUCGUUCCCAGCAACUUGAAGAGCUCAGUCCAGAAUCACCUGGUGAAUCGAGGAUCAUGAUCGUUCACGAUCAUGCGUGGAACGCCCCAAUAAUUGAUGACGUGCUUGAGGAAUAAUCUACCACGAUCAUGAGGGUUCGACACCCUUUGAACUUCAGCAAGUUCACAAUGAAGUCCAUGGAGAUGCUCUCCCAUGGACAUUCCAAGAUAGGCGACAGUUCAAGGAGCCCCACCAGUGACCGUUGCUCUAUCUUGUCUUGUUGACACACAAGACAUGUUCGUACAUAGGCUUCAAUGUCAUCCCGCAUGUGCGGCCAGUAAUAUUGAUCCUCGACGAGUGCUAUGGUGCGGUGGAUUCCCGGAUGACCCGUCCAUUUGGAAUUGUGGCACUUGUGCAGGACUUCCUUCCCGAGUUUCCUGUGGAGCGGCACAUAGAGUUGCUGUCCCUUGGUGUAGAGGAGAUCAUCCUCACACUAGAACCACCUCGUCUUGCCCUCUUGUGCGUAUCGAAGGAGGGCUUGGGCUGUUUGAUCGUGCCUAAGCCCCUCCUUGAUAUGGUCGAUCCAUGGAUAGUCGAGUCGACUCAUAAUGUUGGCCAACUCCAACUUCCUGCUUAAGACAUCGCCCACAAAAUUCGAUUUUUCAGGCUUGUAUUCCAGCACAUAAUCAAACUUGGCCAGGAAGUCUUGCCACCAAGCUUGCUUUGGGUUGAGCUUCUUCUGAGUUUGGAAGUAGCUCGUGGCCACGUUAUUGGUUCUCACGACGAACCGUGAUCCCAAGAGAUAGUGCCUCCAUGUACAAAGGCAAUGCACCGCCACGGUCAUCUCCUUCUCUUGGACCAUGUAUCAUCACUUGAUGUAGUUCAAUUUUCGCAACUCGAAAGCAACCGGAUGCCCCUCUUGCAUCAAGAGACCACCGAUAGCAAAAUCAAAGGUGUCAAUUUCUACCUCAUAUGGCUUGAUGUGGUCGAGCAGCACGAGCACCGGUUCUUCAAUCAUGGCUUGCUUCAACCGAUUGAACGCCUUUUAACACUGAUCCGUCCACUCUCACGGCCUUCCUUUCUUCAACAUAUCCAUGAGUGGCACGGUGAGGCUUGAGUAUCCUUGAAUGAAGUGCCGGUAGUAAUUCGUGAGUCUGAGAAAGAAUCUCAAUUCCAUCACCUUGGUCGGUGGCUCCCAUUCAACGAUGGCAUAGAUCUUGGCCGCGUCCAUCUGCACUCGUCCACCCCCGACAAUGUGCCCAAGGAAAGGGCCUUCCUUUUGAGCAAACAUGCAUUUCUCACGCUUCACGUAUAGGUCAUUCUCUUGAAGAUUCUGGAAAACUUGACUCGAAUGUUUGACAUGUUCCUCAAGCGUUCAGUUGUACACGACAAUAACGUCAAGGUAAACCACAACAAAUCGAUCAAGGAAUGGAUGGAGUACCUUGUUCAUGAGAGUGCAGAAUGUGGCUGGCACAUUUGUCAAGCUGAAAGGCAUGAUGAGGAACUCAUACGAUUCGUAGCAGGUCACACACGCGGUUUUCGGCUCAUCCCCUUCGGCAGUCCGAACUUGGUAGUAUCCUGAUCGAAGAUCAAGCUUGGAGAACCAUUAGGCUUCCUUGAGCUGAUUGAACAAGUCUACAAUGAGAGGGAUCGGAUACUUGUUCUUGACGAUGAGCUUGUUUAAUGCCCGGUGGUCUAUGCACAUGUGGAGGGAUCCGUCAUGUUUCUUUUGGAACAAGACCGAGGCACCAAAUAGGGCCUUGGAUGGUCGAAUGUAUCUCGCAUCGAACAGCUCCUUGAGUUGUUUUCGUAGCUCUUCCAACUCAAGCGGCGCCAUGCAAUAAGGAGCCAUGGCUGGGGGUCGAGCAUUGAUUACAAACUCAAUCCGAUGGUCAACUUCUCUAUGAGGAGGCAGCUUCUUAGGUAGCUCGGGCGGCAUCACAUCUUGGAAGGCAUUAAGGACUCAGGUCACUUCCUCCGGUACCUCACUUUCUUCCACGCUCUCAUCAUUUAACAUCGCCAAGAAGGUCACCCCACCCUUCCUUAAUCCCUUUGUUAGCUAUAUGGCCGAUAGCAUCUUCCUAUCGCGUCCCGACUCAUAGUAGAUCGAGACCAUGCGUUGGCACUGCUUAUCUAUGAUGCAAAUACAAUCCACGAAGGGCAUAACGUCCGCAUUGAUCCGAUCAAGGAAUCCUAAACCAAGCACGGAAUCAUAUUUAUCAAGGGAGAUUACCUUGAUGUCUUCCCUACUGGUCCAUGGACCGAGGUGAAGCUCUACGUCCCUAGCCACGCCGCUAGUCGGGACUUCCUUGGAGUUCACCGUUUUAAGCCAACCGGCUUUUCUCACCUCGACCAGAAGAUUUAGCUUCUUCGCAGCCUUUUUGGAUAUGAAGAGGUCGAAUGCCCCAGUAUCCACAAGCGCACUCAUCGUUAUACCACCAAUCUUUACAUCCACAAACAUCAUUCCCUUGGAUUCCUUAGCUUUCUUGGCCUUGAUCGACCCAAGGAUCCACAACGAUCUCAAUCGUGCCUCCUCUCACGGUUCAUCCUCCUUGCACAAAGCUGCCAUCUUUCCUCUUUUCGGGUGAUCUCGGGCCAUAUGGGGACCGUCACAAAAAAAGCACCUGUAGGUGUGUACCUUGCGAUUAUAUCCUCCAUUGAUUGACUUGGGUUGAGUCCUAGGAGGGGCCGAUAGUGACUUGCCUUUGUUUGGACGGUUGUACCAACUCCGAUCUCCCCCAUCAUUAGCCUUUUCCCUCGGACGAGGGUCUGGCUUAGCCAAGGAUGGUGGUUUGUAUUCCACAAGCGAUUCAGCCACGGAAGUAGUCGUUGCGAGAUCCGUUGCAUGGCACCGUUUCAGCUUUUGCUUGACCCAUGGUUUCACUCUGCUCAUGAACUAAUAGAACGCCUCCAUCUUGGACAUGGAUAGGAUUUGGAGCAAUAGCUCUGAGAACCUCUUAACGUAGUCACGGACUCCGCCUUUUUGCUCUAGGCGCUUGAGUUCCCCCGCAAGCUUCCCCUCCGCAUAAGCAGGGUAGUAAGUUUGCUGAAAUUCUUCCACAAACUUCGUUCAUGUCGUGAUAGGGUUGCCACUCCUAUCAUUCGACCUAUGAUGCCACCACAGUAACGCAUCAUCAAUUAAAUAUAUGGCUGCAGUGUUUACCCAAAUCAUGUUGUCAGUCAUUCCUAUGGUCUAGAAGUAUCAUCCCAUGUACCACAAGAAGUUGUCCACGUCCUUUUCCACUCACAAGCCCUUGAACCCGUUGGCUUGGGUGUGUCGACACGUGGUUGUGUGGUGAUCAGUCCAUUCAUGCGCACCGCUUCAACCUCAGCGACCUUCCCUUUGAGCUCAGCAACUUUGGCAUGCAUGGCCGCCAUUGCCACUUCUCACGUCUCAUCCCGUUGUCUCAGCUUGUAGAUCAGGGACCCCAGUAACUCACCUUAGAGCUCUCCCAUGCCGGCUUUGAGCUCUUGCAUCUCAACCCAGAGUUCUUCUUUUCCGUCUUCCUCUCCGUCGAUGGUUUGGCACAAGUCCUCGACUUGUCCUUGGAUGCCUGAGACAAUUUCCUCCAUGAUCGUCACUCGGCGUUCUAGGUCGCCCAUUUGAUCUCUCGAACUCGAGGCACCACGGGUUUUCUUUGGCUUGGUAAGGGCCUUCUUGUUGGCCCUACCGCGGUCUUCUCGAUCCUCGACUUGAGCGAUCGCAACAUCAGAACACUGAUUAACCAUCGCACUUGGAACGAAGAGCUCUAAUACCACUUGUCACAGGUCAGUCGAUUUCGAUCGAUCAAAUACCAUGCGGCCUUAGGAUUUCACUCCCAAGUUAGCCUCACACGCACACACAUGAGCAUGAGGGUCAGAUGCUCAAAUGAAUGAAUGUAUUUGCUUGUGAAUGAACUGAGUACAAUGAGGGGGAGGAACCCUUAUUUAUACAAGUGCAGGAUUCAUCUCAUCUAUUGAUCUUCCCUUCGAUCCAACUAUUGUGUUUGAAUACAAGCCAUCAUUACAAGUCUGUACACUAGGCCACUCAAUGGCUAGGCCUUGGGAAGCCCAUGGGCAUGUGUCAGAAGCAAGAUCAGGAUCAGUAGGGCCGCCUAAUACGAAGCAGCUAAAUGGUCACGGGCUUUUGUCCGUAUUGCGCAUGGGCCGAUCGUGAGUUGAUCAUGGGUUGUUCAUGGAUUGGUCAUGGGCUACUCGUGGACUGCCCAUCGUGUGUGACGCGGUCCCAUCCGGUCGGUCUUGGAUCAUGCUCCGUUUGUGGGCUGUGUCAUAUGCAUGCUCGCCCUAAACAUUCCUUGUUGAUUCCAGCCACACUAAAAGUUCUCCUUUAUCUACCCAAAAUGAUCUUCGAGAUUAUUUAAUUUCUAAAAGUUCUCCUUUAUCUACCCAAAAUGAUCUCCUCGAAAUCAGCUGGUCACGGACCACCUUUUUUCUUGGGUCAAAAUCAUAUAUCGCACAAAUCAUGGCAACGUGUUUAGCACUCCUUCACUUUAUUGUGCGCGCACGUGGUGUAUCUGCUUGUUCAUCGUCCUUGUAGGCUACGCAAUUAUUGAUUUGGACGUGCCCUGCGUUGAAUAAGCGAAAUCUUGUUACACGUAAGGGAUUGCACGUGAAAAAGAACUUGCCUGGAGCUCUUGUGAAAAGGAAUAAAACCAUGUGCUAACGCCAGUAAAGUCAUAGACCUUAGGGAAUAAAUUGUUAAUAAAUGGUAGAGGAGAAGGUCUAAAGAAAGGUUGAUGAUAUAACGUAACGGAUUCGCAGGUAUAUGGUGUUUUUAGCGUCGUGCACGAAAUUGGGUUUUAUUUAGAAUUAUAAAUCGAAUGAGUGCAAAUGGGAUAAUUAGUAUAUUCGCUGAAAAUGUAUAUAAUUAAUUGCUUAAGCCUUCCAAUGUGUUUCCUUGGCUGGGAAUAUGUAGUUAGAACCGAGUGUUGCUGGAGUACAAGAUUAGAGUUCAUAAAAGUAGUUUACAAGCGGAAAGAAGCUUGAUUUCAGUAGUAUCCAUCGGCACCCGAACUAAGCUCGGCUCAUUUUAUGAAAUGGGGUGCAUCCUAUUCAUAUCUUGGCCAUAAUUUAUAUUAUGUGGACUAUAUAUGUGACAGCCCAAGCGGCGGUGCAUGGGGAGGAGGGAUGGCAGUGCGUCCGCACCUCGGUCCCUGGACGUGCAUAGGGAAGGGGUCCCUUUCUUAUCCCACAUCGUUUAGAGGGGAGUCCUAGGCUAGUUUAUAAGGCUUAGGUCCUUCUAAUCUGUGUAACACGUUUUAAAGUUGUGAGUACUUAGUGUCCAAAGCGAACAAUAUUACACAGUGGGGCUCGGGUCCUUAUAAUAUAUAAGACUUACUCAACAUAACGAGUGAGAAGCCUAGUACACAAUCGUGUACAUGCAAUAAUUUGUUAUCUAUGUGGGAAGUGAGCAAGUAUAUUAAUUAGGCAAAUGAGUUCUACGUGCAUGCAUGUCAAUUAAGGGCAUAUUGGCUACACCAUACGACAUAAAUAAGUAAGAUAGAGCGGCAUACGAAAUUGAACUUGUAGAAAGCAAGACGAAAAACUUACCUUCUGGUAUUAUAGCAUUCAAUGUAGUCGAUUGACAACUGUGAACUCAAGACCUCUAUGAGAUGAGAGGUAGGCCAUUGAGGAACUUCUGUGCCUUGUUGUCCGUUUGAUACAAAGAAACAAUGAGUUUCAUGGAUGCAUUUCUUAUUUUAACGUGCUAAUGCUCACAUGCUCUCUCAAUUAGUACAGUAUGUUUUUUCUUGCCCUAUGGCUGGCAAUACCCUCAAUCCGAAUGAGAACUUAGAUGAAGCCUUUUAAGAACUUUCUUAGGUCCGAUUCGAUCGAAAUAUGUGAACUCAAGACCUGUAUGAGAUGAGAGGGAGGUUAUUCAAAAGCAUGAUGUGUUAUGAUAAAAACGACUGAAGAGGAGAGCGAAGGAGAUCGAGGCUUCACUGCAUUUAUUCACCAACUAGAGAAGCAAGCAGUACAUCCGCAAACCUUGAGGCGCAUAAGAUGUACUACAUAGUACAGUGUACUUUCCCUCACCAUCACUUCCAGUCCUCGACAUCUUUUAGUUUAGAUUACUUAUCAUAGUUAGCCAUUUCUAGGGUUAAGGGGAAACAAACCCACGAAUUAGGGUUUGUGUUCUAGGUUGACUUUAAGAAUUAUCCUCCGAUGGUCGUUUCUAUUUUAACAAUUUCCUUGACAAAGAAAAAUAUGAACUUUUAUUCGUAUAAGUAAAUUGCAACAAGUGCUAGUAAAUGUCACAGAAUUAUCUUUAAAAAGGGAAAAAUUUCAAAAGGAGACCCGAAGUGCCAUAUUUUUUCUUAAAUAAGGGUUCAAAGUGGACUUUAUUUUAAAUAAGGACCUGAAAUGCUAUCACUUUCUCAAAUAAAGGUUGAAGUGGAUAUUAUUUCAAAUGAGGACCUAAAGUGAUUAUGUUGUUUCAAAUAAGGGCCUAAAGUGACUAUGUCCAUUUCAAAUAAGAACUUGAGUUUUCGACGAUCAAGGAUAUUUUUGUCAUUUGUCAUUUUUCUCCUUUUUUUUUUCUUCCUUUUUUUCUUUCAUUUUUCUAGUUUUUCUUCAUCUUCUGGCCACUAGUGAUGCCCACAGAGGACUGGGCAAGGUCGCCCUCGUAGACAAGGGCCACUUAUGCCGACCAUAGGCAAGGGACGGCCUCGCCUAGGCGAGGCAACCCUUGCCCAAGGGCCAUCCGAGAGGCCGGCAUGGGCUGACCCCAAGUGAGGCCAACCCUUGCCAGAUCUAGCAAGGGUGGCCUCGCCCACGACCGACGAGGGCUGGGCGACCUCGCCGUCCUCUGGCAAGGCGACCUUGCCAUCCUCUGGCAAGGGCUAACGAGGCCACCCUCGCUAGAUCUGGCCAGGUUUGCGACAGGCAAGGCCACCCUCGCAAGAUUCGGCAAGGGUCGGCCUCACCUGGGGCCGAUGAGGGUUGACUUCACGGAUGGCACCCGGGUGAGGGUCGCCAUGCCCAGGUGAGGCUAUCCCUCACCUAUGGCCGGGGAGGGUAACCCUCGCCCAACCCUCUAUGGGCAUCCUAGCCACCGGCGAGGAGGAAGAAGAAGAACCAAAAGAAAAAAAAAAGGGAAAGAAAAAAAGAGGAAAAUACCAAAUGACGAAAAUACUCUUAAUCGGUCAGCAAAUUUAGCUGGCUGACAACCGUCAAAGUCAAGUCCUUAUUUGAAAUAACUAAAGCUACUUCAAACAUUUAUUUGAAACAACAAAGACCACUUCAAGUCCAUAUUUGAAAUAAAAUUCACUUCAGGCCAUUGUUUGAGAAAAUAAGAGCACUUUUGGUCCUUUUUUGAAAUUUUCCCUUAAAAAAAUGACGUGACGUUUUUGUCUUACUUUUUUUUUCCAAGUAAUUAGCUGGUAACUUACCCCACUCUUAUUUCUUUACCAAAAAAAACUUACCCCACUCUUAUUGAAAUUACUAAUUACUUUUGUACUUUGCAAAUUACCAAUUUUUAUACUAACAUAUCAAAUUUUAUUUGAAUAAGUUACUAAGUUUUCGAACAAAUUAAUCCCUAAUAUUAAAGUACCAACCUAAUAUAGGAAAAGCCACCAACUUAUAUCAAAUUAAACUACCUUAAGUUAUAAGGUCUUGGUUGAGUUACUGGCCAAUGUUUAAUUGUCUUUAUAAUAUAUGAACGUAUCUAUUGAGUUCUAAAUUUUUUUUUCUUCUUGGUUAGCAAUCUUUUAAAUUUAAAAUCUAGCUCGAUGACGUAGGUUGUCACCAAGACAUCUGGAACCUCAGUUCUAGGUCGAUCUACGGUUGACUCCCUCAUACAGUUUGAUCCAGGUGAUCUUGGUGAUAUGCGCUUGGAUCUUGAAGCAACGAGGGGUUGCGGUCGAGAGCAAAGGUGCAAAUGACGAGAUGUGAGCCAGGCUGGAGGCAAGUGACAGGUGAUGCAUGACAAUGGUAGAGUGAGAAAGCCGACAAGGGUGGUGUUGUACAGCCGAGAGGCGGGUCUUUUGUAGGCUGAGUGAUAAAGAAAGGGGCUGUAGACGCACAAGGGUACUUUUGUCACAUAAUUUUCUUAGGGUGUGUAUAGAACUAAUUUGAGUGUGGAAUUAGCAUGAUCCAAAUUUUAUUAAGAGACGGAGAGACAACGGAUAAUUUUAAUUAUAUUUUAAACCAAAUUUCGUGACGAAUAUAAUUUGGUUAGUUAACAUAAAAAUAAUACGUUUUAGCCAAAUAGGGUGUGGAAAUGGCAACACCCUUCUUUAUACAUUAAAAGUUUUUGUUUGAAAAUUUUCACAUCCAUAAAGGUGUGCUCUUUUUCCUAGUAAUACAGAGAUUUUAAAUCAAAAUAGAGGUGUCUCUAUUCAAAAAUGCAUACGGCAGUCGGACACCUAUCUGCUUUGAUCUCUGUCUAGCUUUAACUCCACAGACAUCUGCAAACUUGUUCUAAUUAUAAUGCCCAUAUACCUGUAUACUAAAGCAUCCACCUCUGAUUUAUUUUUUAUGUUUUAUAUAUAUAUAUAUAGUCAGGAACCAUUUUUUCGGCUCCCUCGAUUAGCAACGAUUACAAAAAUUACUUUAAGUAAUACCUUUAGGAUGGGGGUCAAAAUUCGAGUGUGAAGAUGGAUUCCCACCUUUGACUAGUCAACGUCAGAAGCCUCCAAGAGCGAUUAAGGUGCCACAUAAUCCUCCUCAAGGGCAGUGGUUUGUAGGGAAGGAAAUCCAUAGUAGUCCGCAAGAAAUUCAGCCUUUCGAGCAAAAACCGAUGUCGAGGACUCGAAGAAGGAGAAUGCAGCGAAAGAAAAAGUUGCAGGAAUUACAUACGCAAGCCGACACUUUGAUAAGACCGAAAGUAAACAUUGCGGUGAAACCAAGAGCCUAGUUUGGGUAAGACAUGAGGGAGAUUCUCUUGAGAUGGAUGGACAAUAUAGUAAUUGUUAGGAAGAUGACAUUGUGCAAAGAAAGAGCCCUUCUUGAAAGCAAAAAGAAGAAAAGAUCGAGAGGAAGGUAGACAAAGUGAAAAGUAAGCAGAGAAAGGUCCAACUUUGGUUCUUCAGCUUGCUCAAACAUGGUGCAAGUGAGACUUUCUCUUGAAUUUAAAGCUUCUGCCAUGAGGGUCGUUCCGACAGAAGAAGAAACUUGCGAAUUGAUAGAGACAGUCAGGACAGAAUUCAAAUUCACUAAUGAGGAAGUGGUGAAAUUCGAGAAACUUCCGAUUCAUAAGACGAAGCACUUGAAAGCCUCAUGCUGGUAAGCAAGAUUGAAGGCCGUCCAAUUAAUAGGAUAUUAGUUAAUGGGGGAGCUACUCUAAAUCUUAUGCCUUGCCGAUACUUUCGGAAAAAUCAGUAAAGAUGAGAAGAAAAUAAUCCCUACCAGUGUAACACUCUCGGAUUUUCGAAAGACAUACACGAUGCUAAGGGGGCAAUGGUAGUUGAUGUCACAAUUGGGUUGCGUACUACGAAAACAACAUUUUUGUUAAUAGAUGCCGACUACUCUUAUAAUUUGUUGUUGGGAAGGGAUUGGAUACACAGCAAUCGGUGAAUACCCUCAUUAUUACAUUAGAUCCUAGCUUUCUGGAAUGAAGACAAGGUAAAGUAUGUAAGAGCAAAUCAUGAGUUCGAGCAUUACUUGGGCCGAUGUAGUUCAAAUGGAUGCUCCUGAAGAUGAUGCAGUAUCCGUUAUAGAACCACCUUGCACGGAUACCAAUAAGCUUGCAUGCGACCGCUUUACUGAAAUGGGGUUUAAGUGGAUCCCGAAGAAGAACAAGCUGGCCAAGGGGAAAUUCGAUGUUUUAUAUGGAAGAAAGCAACUUGUUACAAGAGUUGGAUGAGUGGUACUCUUGCUACUUAGCAGAGGAGACUAAGAACUCUCUAGGGUUUGUUGAUUGCAAAGGGGAUUUGGAGGACUCUCCACUCAGGGAGGACCCGAAAACAAUUAAAUCCGAAGAUCCGCUCAUAGAAAUUGAUAUAAGUGAUGAUGAAGUAAAGCAAAAUAUCUUCAUAAGUGCAUUACCGAGUGAUGAAUUCCAAUAUGAUUUAGUGGAAGUCUUACGGAGGCAUAAGGGUUGUUUUGCAUAGGACUACCAUGAAAUGACGGGUUAGGUAGGGAUAUUGAGCAUCGUCUCCUAAUAAAACCAGGUUGAAAGCCUCAUAAGUGAGAUAGCUAGUAUAAGCACCUAGAGGGGGGUGAAUAGGUGUAAAAGUAUUUUCUCGAGAUAAGAGAGCAAUGUUAAGCAAACAAUAGAAAGGAAAUGAUAUUUUCGUUAACAAAGUGAAUAAUGAUCAAAGUAAAGUAGAGAGUAGGGAAGAGAAAAUGAACACAGAAAUUAUAGUGGUUCGGCUUAUUCCAAGCCUACGUCCACUCUUCCGCACUGACAGCCCACCGGCUGGAUUUCACUAUGAACAAAAGAGUUGUUACAGCAAUGCUCUUCCUUGAUUCCACAGUGUAGAUACUCUACCACACUUCCUCAAGGUUUCUCAAGAAUAUGAACUCUCUUUUGCGUACAAGAUUUCGCUCAGAAAAUGAAUUGACUAAGAACAAAGAGCUUCAGACUUUGGAAUUCUUCUAUCGCGCACACACUCAAACAACUUGAACGACUUCCUUAUAUACUCCUUUAUGCCAUCAUACCCGUUGGCACUUACCAAAGGAAUUCUUCAAAUCUUCCCGUUGGACAGAAUCAAUUAGGAAGAUCAUUCGAGCUAUUUAAGGAACAUGUCGAUAGCCCAUUAAUCCUGCUCGCCCAUACAAUCAGGAUCUCAGUUUCCAUAAGUAGAACCUUCCAAGUAUACUUCGCCAAUCAUCGGAUCCUCAAUCUUUGAAUCAAUAAAGGAUUCCGUUAUGUCAUAUCCAGCCAAGAGAUCUUCUCCAGUCGAUAAGGUCAAAUCUUUAACGAAACAUCCAGUCCUGGAUAGCCCUUCUUCGACGAAUUAGAAACUGUCAAUGAGAAUAAACUUUGAGUCUUGAGUCUGGCAGUCCGGAGGUCUUCAGACUUUAAAUUGUAGAGUCUGCAAAUCUUCGGACUAGACUGAUGGAAACGUUUUGUCAGCUUCAAAAUACUCCAGGAAUAUUUCUCCAACAAUCUCCCCCUUUUUUAUGGUGACAAAAUUUUCCUAUAGAUUUGGAUAACUUUGACCUACAAAACAUUACUCAAGCAAAUAUGGAUAUCUCAUAAAGAUAAAUGGCUUAUUGAUAACACUAAAAUCUGCAACCACAGAAAAUAGGUUAGUCUUGCAUAUGAGUAAAACCAUCCAUAAGAUAUCAAUAGUACUUAAUAUAAGCAGUCAAUCCAAAAUCCCAAAUCCAGUCCACGGCUAGACACAAAAGUCAAGUCAAACAUCAAAACAAAUCAAAAGUUCAAGUUCAAAAAAGUUCAAGGUUCAAAGUUCAAAUCACAUUUCUCCCCCCUUUUGUCAUCAUAAAAAAGGUUGAGAUGGAAUCAAGAAUGUUUGGGAACAUGAACAAGCUGGAAAUCUCCCAUUAACUGGACAAUGCCUUCCAGCUUUGUCAACUCUUCCUUCAAUUGAGCCACCUCUUCACCCUUAGCAUUUGCUUGAAUCGAAGAGCAAGGGCUUGGAUCUGAUCAUUCAAAGAAACUGAAGAAGCUUGACUUGCAUUCUGCAAAUUCUAUACUUCGCAUCCUAGAGCAUAUAUCUGACUCCGCAUUUCUAAGAGAACAUCAAGAAUUAUGCGAAAAUCUGCUGAAUUAUCAGUCUACGUACUGGCUUCUGCACGAUCAGAUGGAGUAAAGGCAGACGAUGGCAAAUCAGCAUAGUCACGCAAAUUGGGCGAUGAAACAUCAUUGUCCCUCUUUAGGAAAUUGAGAGGCAUAGAUGUUCUCUGGAUCUGCUGGAGAGCGGCUGACUCCUUCACUGGUAGCAAGAUAUGAGGACAUUCCUCUUUUCUCACGAUCUCCCCCUAUUUCCAUGCCUUCAGGUGGAGAAGAGUGUUCCUCAUGCUCUCCUUCAUCUUGAUCUCCUCUUUCUUCUUCUUCUUCUUCUUCUUCUUCUUCUUCUUCAAUUCUUUCCUCCUCUGCAUCUCUUUCUUCAGCUCCUCUCUCCUCUGUUUCUUUCUCUUCUGCUUCCAAAUCUUCUCUUUCUCCAGUCCUCUGUUCUGUGUCUUUUUCUUGUCAUUCUAUUGAUUCUGGAACAAAACGACUCAGUUUUUUAAUGCCAUUGCAGUAAUGGUGAUGUCUUCUUCAUCUUCUUCAUCCUCAACAAUGAGAGCUCUUCUUUUCUUGUAUGGAGCAACCAUGGGCUCCUUCCCUUUUAUUUUUGCUGCCGAAGAGAUUUGAUGAGAUUUGACAGGGGUUUUCUCCUUGAAUUUCUCAACGCCUUGUUGAGUUCUUCAGACGCAUUUAGAUACCAUUUUCAGUCCCACUACCAUUUGAUCACAAGUUCGAACACAGAGAAUCCGAGGAGGCUGAACAUUCAAAUGUCUGAAUAACUUUGUCACAAUAGUUGGAUAAGGAAGUUGACCAUUGUCCUUCACCACUGCUCUAUACAUGUGGAAUAUAAUAGUGUGAGGAAGAGAAAACUUUUUCCUAGCAUUGAUGGCAUACAUCAGCUUUGCCUCUAAGUUUGAAACAUCAGUCUUUGGAGUAGAUUUUGGUCUAAGGCAAUUUAUCACAAUCUUGUGAAGCAGAAUGUUGAACGCACUUAUCCUUGAGUAGGAAACAUUUCCUUAUGUCCUUCUAUCCUUAACAAGUUCCAACGUAGUACAAGCAAUAGAGAUAUUGAAAGGUUGAUAUCUCCCUCUCUCAACCCCAAUCACAUCAGCCAACAUAUCUACAUCCACCACAUAGUCCUGAUCUUGGACACUAAAAGAGAAUCUAUUUGCAUUUAAGAAACUGAGAUUCAAAUAGAAAUAUGCAGUGAGUUCAGCAUAGGCUUCUGUAGAUUCAGAACAGAACUGUUCAAGUUGAAGAAGACUGAAUUUUUCCCUUAAAUUAACGUUCACAGCAUCAAGGAAAUCAAAAUCCACACUCCUAGGGUUUAUGACUCCACGCUUCUACAACUUAGAGUAUAGAUGCUUGUGUUCCUCCGAUCAAAACAAGUCUGUCCUUUUGCUCCAAUUUUUUGCCGUAACACCCAUUCUCGGUUGAAACUGACUGUACAACUUGUCAUCAUCAUUCCCAUCUGGCUGAUUCAGCCCUCCAACACGUGGAUCGAUUGGAAUAUUUUCCAUUGCCUCUUCUGCUGACCCAGCAGGGGCAAUUCCCAACCAUUCCAUUGUGCGUAAAAAGAAGGUUUCAUUUUUGUAUCCUUUGUCUUUCAGAAAUUCGUCAAUGUAGUUCAAAGGAGUUCCACCUCUUUUCAAAGCACGAUAAAGCUUGUAGGUAAAAGAGGGCUUAAGAGUUCUUACGGGUUCUGCAUCUUCGAUUAUUUCUUCCUCUUCUUGAUGAGCAACAUCCUGUGGUCUAGAUGGAGAAGAUGGACGCUGCUGAGAAUGUUCUGGGCUCUGCUGCUGACUAGGAAACUCUUCUUCCUCGGUGAGAUCAAAGUGCGUAGGCCCCUCACACAUUUGCUGUGGUCCCCUAUUCGCAAUCCUCGAAGACUUCCUUUGAGACAACAUCUUUCACAGUCUUUGAAAGAUUCCAAACUUGACUUUCCCAAUAAAGAUGACAAAUUUUCGAAGAUUAAACAAGAGAAGAAGACAUAAGUGGAAGAUUGAUGCUUUUUAGGAUUUUUGGAGUUAAACGAAACGGAACCGACAGUAUAUAGGUCAGUCAAAGAGAGGCAUAUAAAACGUCGUAAUGGAAAGUAAAAAGAUGUCCUUUUAAAAAAUAACUGUCUUUUUAAAAAAAAUUAGAUAACUGCCAUUUAAAAUUAACUCCAUUUUCGAAAAAGAAAGAUUGCACUAAUCACAGAAAUUGAAAGUAGCAAAAGUCAAUUAUGGACAGAUGAUCGUACCUUUUCAAGAUUUAAUCUGAGAGAGAAUAAAAUAACUUACAAUCAAAGAUCUUGAUUGUCUGAGUCUGAGAGUCUCUAGACUUUUACUUCCUCAAUCCUCAAGAUGUUGAGUCUGGAACGAAUGAUUUCAAAUUGAUUUUUCUCCAACAGUUUUGUGAAUAUAUCCGCCAGUUGGUUCUUUGAGUCAACAAACUGAAUCGAAACUUCUCCAUUCUGAACAUGAUCUCUAAUGAAGUGAUGUCGAAUCUCUAUAUGCUUUGCUCUUGAGUGAAGAAUUGGAUUCUUGGUGAGAUUGAUUGCGAUGGUGUUGUCAUAGUUAAUCUCCGUGCAUGAAUCUUCAAUUCCAAAGUCUCUUAGCUGUUGUUUUAUCCACAGAAUUUGUGAACAACAACUUCCAAGAGCUACAUACUCUGCUUCUGCUGUAGAAAGAGCCACUGUAUUUUGCUUCCUUGAAAACCAAGACACUGUCCUGCUUCCAAGUAGUUGACAGGUACCCGAGGUGCUCUUUCUAUCAAUUCUGCAUUCGGCUAGAUCUGCGUCUGAGUAUCCAAGAAGAGUAAAGUCUCCAUUUUUAGGAUACCAAAGAUCAAGGCUUGAAGUUGAUGCAAUGUAUUUGAUAUUACACUUUGUAGCACUUAGAUGAGAUUCUUUAGGGUCUGCUUGAAAUCUAGCACAAAUGCAAACACUAAACAAAAUGUCAGGUCUAGAAGCAGUAAGAUAAAGAAGUGAACCAAUGAUACUCCUGUAUAGCUUUUGAUCAACUUUCUUUCCUCCUUCAUCUUUGUCUAUCUUCAAAGAACUUGACAUUGGUAUAUCAGUCUUUUUGCAAUUUUCCAAUCCAAACUUUUUGACAAGAUCAUUAGCAUAUUUUUCUUGAUGAAUAAAGGUUCCUUCCUUCAAUUCUUUCACUUGAAGUCCAAGAAAGAAGGUUAGUUCACCCAUCAUGCUCAUUUCAAAUUCAUCCCGCAUAGACUUAGAGAAUUUCUUGCACAAACUUUGAUUAGAGGAUCCAAAAAUAAUAUCAUCAACAUGUAUUUGAACAAGCAGAAAACUUUUGCUUUUUCUUUUGAUAAACAGAGUAGUGUCUACUUUACCUUUGACAAAGCCGUUUUGAAUUAAAAAUUUACUCAGCUUGUCAUACCAAGCUCGAGGUGCUUGCUUUAAACCAUAUAAAGCCUUUAUCAAUCUGAAUACUGAGUCUGGUUUUCUUGGAUCUUCAAACCCAGGUGGUUGUUCACAUAGACUUCCUCAUGGAUAAAUCCAUUCAGGAAAGCACUUUUGACGUCCAUUUGGAAUAACCUGAAAUUCUUAUAACAAGCAAAAGCAAGUAAUAAUCUAAUUGCUUCUAACCUCGCUAUUGGUGCAUAAGUGUCAUCAUAUUCUAUCCCUUCUUCUUGCGUAUAUCCCUUGGCCACAAGUCUUGCUUUGUUUCUUACAGCCUUUCCUUUCUCGUCCAUCUUGUUCCUAAAAACCCAUUUAGCUCCAAUAAUAGAUUUACCUUUCGGUUUAGGAGUCAAUUCCCAAACAUCAUUAAUACUGAAUUGCCUGAGUUUUUCUUGCAUGGCUUCAAUCCAGUUUUCAUCAGAUAAAGCUUCUUCUAUGCUUUUGGGUUCUAUUUCAGAAAUAAGAGCCACAGCACUAGACACUUCACGCCUUUUGGAUCUUGUGCGAAUUCAUUCAUUAAUGUCGCCUAUAAUUAGAUCUUUGGGAUGAAUGGAUUUAUGCUUCCAGUUACUGGUUGAUUUGUCAGGUUGAUGAUCACUUUCUUCAUUUGAAUCUUCAACAAUCAUUUGAUGCUAGUCUUUCGAAGUCUGAGCUGCUUCUUGAGAUUUAGACUUUGUAGAGUCUAGAGCAGGUUCAGAUUCUUCAAGAUGAGUCUGAAUAGAUUCAUUUUGCAUAGAAUCUUGGAAUUUGACAUUCAUUGAUUCCUCCACAGAUUGAGUCUUCUUGUUGUAGACUUUGUAGGCUUUGCUUGAGGUAGAAUAUCUAAGGAAGAUGCCUUCGUCUGAUUUUUCUUCAAACUUGCCAACUCGAUCAUUUGCAUUUUUCAAUAUAAGGCAUUUACAUCCAAACACAUGAAAAUAUGAAACAAUAGGCUUCUUUUCUUUGAAUAACUCAUAAGGGGUUUUUUCCAGAAUAGGUCUUAGAAAAACUCUAUUAAUAAUAUAACAUACUGUAGAAACUGCUUCAAUCCAAAAACGUGAAGAGAUGUUACUUUCAAUUAAAAAAGUUCUAGCCAUUUCUUGAAGUGACCUAUUCUUUCUUUCCACAACUCCGUUUUGCCCUGGAGUAUAUGGAGAGGAGAACACAUGCUGAAAACCAGAUUCAUCACAGAAUUUUGUAAAAUCUUGAUUUUCAAAUUCACCUCUAUGGUCUGUUCUUAUACUUGAAAUAACAUACCCUUUUUCAUUUUGAAUCUUUUUAGCAAACUUUUCAAAGUAAGAAAAUGUUUCAGACUUACUUGUCAAGAAAUAUACCCAAGUAAAUCGUGAGUAGUCAUCCACAAUUACUAGGCAAUAUUUCUUACCUCCAAUGCUUUGAGUUCUGGUUGGUCCAAAGAGAUCUAUAUGCAGACGCUGCAGUACACGAUUAGUGGAAACUUGAUUUAUUGGUUUAAAUGAAUUUCUUACCUGCUUUCCCAAUACACAUGGUGUACAUAGAUCAGACUUUUGGUAUGACAGAUUAGGUAGACCACGAACUAACUUCUUUGUUGAAAUUUUGGCUAUUUGCUUCAUAUUGAUGUACCCAAGUUUUUUGUGCCAUAAGUUCGCUUCGUCUUGAAUUGAGAUUAGACAUUGCGAUUCAUCUGGUUUCACGUCCAAGAGGUAGAUAUUUCCAUGUCUUCGACCCAUGAAUGACUGAGUAGAAUCUUUACCGGUUCCUGAACAUAUUCCUUCUUGAAAGUUGAUUUUGAAACCGGUAUCGCACAGCUGACUGAUACUAAGCAGAUUGUAGUUGAGUCCUUCCACUAAGGAAACAUUGCUGAUUGUGAGGUUUCUAAUCUUUACAGUUCCGAAUCCCACAAUUCUUCCUUUGUUGUUUCCUCCAAAUGAGACUUUUCCACCAUUUACUUGAAUGAGCUUUAUGAAGCAAUUUGAAUCUCCUGCCAUAUGUCUUGAGCAUCCACUAUCCAGAUACCAUUUUACAUUCUUCUUGAUAGUGACUUGCAUUUAAAAAAGUGACUCAAACUUUCUUUGGUACUCAUAUUUUCUUGGGUCCAUUGGUGUUAGUAUGAUAUGCGGUUUUUGCCCAUACUUUCUUAACAGGUUUCCAAACCAUAGGACAUUCUUUCUCAAAAUGAUCUGAACUAUUGCACUUUGAACAUCUAAGAGCAUUGCGACCUACUGGUUUUACAAAGACCUUUUUAAAAUGAUUUUUGUAAGCAUCUCUUGUGGGUCUUUGCUUAAUUCUUUCCUUCACUUUAGGAAAAUCAAUUAAAGGAAUGGUUUCCACAGUCAUUCCCAAACCAGAUUUAUUGAAAUAAGGUCUUUGUGCUGAAAGAAUUUUCUCAAGUUUCUCAGAUCCUAUUGAAAAUCUUUUGGAAAUAUUUGAUAUGUCAUUUUUUAAAAAUACAUUUUCUUUCGAAAGGUUGUCUUCUCUUUCUUUAAGAGUAGAAACAUUCAUGUCUAAACAUUUCACAUUUUCUUUCAAAACAUUUUCCUGUUGUUUCAGUGCAGAAUUUUCCUUUUUAAGUUCGGAAAUCCUUUUAAGAGAGGUCUUAAGACUAAAACACAAAUCAUCAAUGUAUUUAGAAACUUUAAUAGGGAUUUUAGAGUUACUCACCUCAAAUUCACUGUCUGAAUCUGAGUUUGUCUCGGAGUUUGAAUCUGAAUUCGAUUGUGCCAUCAAACAUAUAUUGGCAUAAUCAUCAUUACUUUCUUCACAUUCUGUAUCACUCCAGGUUUCUGUUUUAAGAGCCUUUCGAUACUUUUCAGCUUUUCCUUUCUUCUUCCUCAGAAGAGGACAGUUGGGUCUGACGUAUCCCUUUUUCUUACAUUCAAAGCAGACUACAUGUCUAUUUGAUUCAUCAUCCUCAACAGACUUAGUCUGUUGCUUUUGAAAACUUUAUUUCUUUGGAUUGAAUCUUCUUCCUUUUCUGUUAAGCUUUCUAAAUCUUCUUAUCAUGAGAGCAAGCUCCUCAUCAUCCAUAUCGUCUUCAAAAUCUGUAACAUCAUAAUCAUCAUUGGAUUUUAAUGCAAUGGAUUUCUUACCUUUAGGAUCUUCAUCUUCAUUGAUUCGUUCCAUUUCAUAAGACUGAAGAGUCCCAACCAACUCAUCUACAGAUAGUGGCAUAAUUCUUUGUGUCUCCCUUAUUGAGGUCUUUAUGUGAUUCCAAUCCUUGGAGAGUCCACGCAGUAGCUUGUUUACUUUCAUGAGAUCAAAAAUUGGUUGACCUUGAUUUUCAAGACCAUUCACGAUUUCUGUAAAACGACUAAACAUGUCAGUUAUAGAUUCUCCUGAUUUCAUUUUGAAGACUUCCUAUUGACCGAGGAGAAUGUUGAUUCUGGUUUCUUUCACUCGAUCGGUUCCUUCAUAGGUAAUAUGUAAUCUAUCCCAAACUUCUUUCGCUGUAACACAAGAAGAUAUUCUGUUAUAUUCAAUAGGUGACAAAGCACAAUAUAAAGAAUAAAUUGCUUUUGCAUCAAGAGCUUGUCUCUUGGUUAUCUCUUCCUAAGUCAUUUCACUAGACUCAACAGUUUCUUUUCCUCUCUCCGAGACAGGUGCAGCUUCAGGAAUGAUUCCUUUAUCUACAACGUCCCAUUCCUGAGGAUCCUUUGAUCUUAGGAACGCCUUCAUCUUGUUUUUCCAUAUGUUGUAUUCAUUUCCAUCAAAGUAAAGCGGUCUGGUAUUGCUUUGCCCUUCUACCAGCCCUGUAGCUAACAUACUAGUCAUGGAUCUUUAACUCUGAAGUAAAACACUUCAAACAAAGUGAGUACACAGGCUCUGAUACCAAUUGAGAUAGCUAGUAUAAGCACCUAGAGGGGGGUGAAUAGGUGUAAAAGUAUUUUCUCGAGAUAAGAGAGCAAUACUAAGUAGACAAUAGAAAGGAAAUUCUCUUUUCAUUAACAAAGCAAAUAAUGAUCAAAGUAAAGCAGAGAGUAGGGAAGAGAAAAUGAACACAGAAAUUAUAGUGGUUCGGCUUAUUCCAAGCCUACGUUCUCUCUUCCGCACUGACAGCCCAUCGGCUAGAUUUCACUAUGAACAAAAGAGUUGUUAUAACAAUGCUCUUCAUUGAUUCCACAGUGUAGAUACUCUACCACACUUCCUCAAGGUUUCUCAAGAAUAUGAACUCUCUUUUGCGUACAAGAUUUCGCUCAGAAAAUGAAUUGACUAAGAACAAAUAGCUCAGACUUUAGAAUUCUUCUAUCGUGCACACACUCAAAUAACUGGAACAACUUCCUUAUAUACUCCUUUAUGCCAUCAUACCCGUUGGCACUUACCAAAGGAAUUCUUCCAAUUUUCCCAUUGGACAGAAUCAAUUAGGAAGAUCAUUCGAGCUAUUUAAGGAACAUGUCGAUAGCCCAUCAAUCCUGCUCGCCCAUACAAUCAGGAUCUCAGUUUCCAUAAGUAGAACCUUCCAAGUAUACUUCGUCAAUCAUCGGAUCCUCAAUCUUUGAAUCAAUAAAGGAUUCCAUUAUGUCAUAUCCAGCCAAGAGAUCUUCUCCAGUCGAUAAGGUCAAAUCCUUAACGAAACAUCCAGUCCUUGAUAGCCCUUUAGAAACUGUCAAUGAGAAUAGACUUUGAGUCUGGAGUCUGGCAGUCCGGAGGUCUUCAGACUUUAAAUUGUAGAGUCUGCAAAUCUUGACACUAGACUGAUGGAAACGUUUUGUCAGCUUUAAAAUACUCCAGGAAGAUUUCUCUAACAAUAAGCAGCCACUGAGAAGGUUUGCUCCCAAAGUGAACACAAAAAUAGAAGAGAAAACAGAGAGACUAUUGAAGGUAGGUUUCAUUGAAACCGCUUGAUAUGUUGAAUGGUUAUCUAAGAUAGUCCCAGUCAAGAAGAAAAAUGAGAAAUUGCGAGUUUGCAUUGACUUCAGGAAUUUAAAUGCUGUAACUCCAAAAGACAAAUAUCAAAUGCCAGUUGCCAAUAUGGUAGUAGACUCCACGGUUGGAAAUGAAAUGUUGUCCUUGAUGGAUGGCUAUUCGGGGUACAAUCAAAUUUUCAUUGCUGAACAUAAAGUCUACAAGACGACCUUUAGGUGCCCAGGAGCCAUAGGGUAUUUGCUUGGAAGGUUAUGCCAUUUGCAUCAAAGAACGUUGGAGCGACUUAACAAUCGGCGAUGAAUUUCAUUUUCCAUGAUAUGAUAGGAGAGUUCAUGGAGGUGUACAUCAACAAGAUCCUAGUCAAAUAAGAAGAGGUAAGUCAUCUCAAAUAUCUUGAGCAAUCUUUUGUUAGGAUGGAGAAGUAUCAAUUAAAAAUGAACCCUUUAAAAUGUGCAUUCGGUAUAAAAGUUGGGAAUUUCUUAAGAUUUUUGGUUAACAAUAGAGAAAGAGAUUAAUAAGAAUAAGGCUAAGGUCAUAUUAGAUUUAUCUCCUCCAACUAACAAGAAACAAUUGCAAAUGAUAAUCGAGAAAGUAAAUUUUUUGAAGAGAUUCAUUGCUAACCUAUCUGGCAAGAUAGAGGUGUUUUCUCCUUUGUUGAAAUUGAAAAAUUAAGAAGAAUUCAUCUGGUGAGAAGAACACUAGCGUGCCUUUGAGAGAAUAAAAGCAUACUUGACUAAUCCUCUAGUGUUGAUGCCGCCAAAAGCAGGCAGGCCUCUAAAACUCUAUGUGUCGGCCAUCGAUACAACUAUCGGUAGCAUGUUGGUGCAAGAGAAUGAUGAAGGCAAAGAGCGGAUAGUAUAUUAUCUCAGUAAGAUGUUGAAUGAUGACGAGGGAAGAUAUGUUGCUUUUGAAAAGAUCGGUUUGUCUUUGUAUAUUGCAUGCACAGAUUUGCGACAUUAUUUGUUUGCCAACUGUUCAUGUGAUAUGCAAAACCAAUGUUAUCAAGUACAUGCUUACGAGGUCUAUAGUGAAAGGCCGAGUGGCAAAGUGGUCUUUCACAUUGUCUCAGAUGGAUUUAAUAUGAAAGACGUAAAGGGACUAGCUGUAACUGAUUUUCUUACCAAAUACCCAUGUGUUCAAGUCGAAGACAUCGGAAGCGAAAAUUAUGCACAACUACUCCCAUGGUUACUAUAUUUUGACGGUUUGUCUACGUCCAUCACAUCAGGAGUACGAGUUUUGAUUGUGUCACCAAGGGGACACAAAACGAGAUUCCAGUUUAGGCUUGAUUUCAAAUAUUCUAAUAAUCAAGCUUAAUAUGAGGCACUCAUAGUCAACCUCUACUUGUUGGCUGACAUGAAUGUACAAACGAUUAAAGUGAUGAGUGAUUCGCAAAUAGUAAUCAAACAAUUAAAAUGUGAAUAUCAAUAUCUUAAUAACAAUAUUAUGGAGCACUAUAACACGACUAAGGAAUUGUUAGCUAGAUUUCCUGAUUCGAAACUAGUGCACCUACUACGAUAUCAAAAUACGAAAGCCAAUAAACUUGCUCAGAUGGUAUCUAACUAUCGCAUCCCGAAAGAACUAGCUUACACUUUAGUAAAUGAGAUAAAAGCAUUGCCACCUAUGUCACAACAGGUGAUGGCCGCGAAAGCCACAACAAAAGGAAACAAUCGAAAUUGGUGAAUGCUGAUAAUAGAGUAUUUGAAGAAACCCAAGUCUUGAGACAAAGGAUUGAAGAAGCAGACACUAAAAUGUGUGGUCUUAGGUGAGGAAUUUUAUCAAUAUACCAUUGAAGGGGUAUUGUUGAGGUGUCUGAAUGAAGAGGAAGCAAUGUUGGUGAUGGCUAAGGCUCAUGAAGAGAUUUAUGGAGCGCAUCAAGCAAGUAUCAAAAUGAAGUAGCUGUUGGCCCAAGAUUGCACAAGUUACGUGAAAGGAUGCAAACCUUGCCAAAUGCAUGGCCUAAUCCAACAUGUCCCAACAACUUUGUUGAAGCCGCUAAUGAAGCCAUGGCUUUUCAAAGGAUAGACAAUAGAUGUUAUUGGGAAGAUAUACCCACCGUCAAGCAAGAAAUAUUCAUUUAUACUCCUGGCCACUGUUUACUUCACCAAGUGGGUGGAAGCAGUAUCAUACAGGAGCAAGACGACCCAUGACUAUAUGCUUAUUUCGAGAAAGGUAAAAAGCUAAACCCGUGAGGUCCUGAGCUACUUGAAGGGAGGGGUGACAAAAAAAAGAAUUUAGACAACUAGUAGAGCAAAAAGGCAACAUGCUUCUCAUCCUCAACAUCUCUUGUCUGACAAGCAAAGGCUUUUUGGAAACUAGUAUAGGAGAAGUCUACACCUUUUCCGAAGAUAUCACAAGCCGAAGGAUUAAUAGCGUUAGCAUCAUCACCAUUUGAGCUCAAACUAGUGAUGGCGAACACACCAAGAAAAGUUACUAACAUAGGGCCUGACCUGAAGAAGAAAGAGUUAACAGACGGCCACUAAAAGCGUGCAAGGCUACCCAAAAGCUUGUGAUUGAGUUUCCAAUCAAAGGUGCAAAACUCCAAAGCCUUGUCAAUUCGAGCCUUACGGCACACCUCCUGCUUGACAGCCUUCAACAUAUAAUACCAAUCGAAGAAAGUGCAGUCGAAGGGGUAAAAAGCCCUAAGUUUUUAGGUAGGAGACAACAAGACAUGCUCCAAAAGAUGGUCCUUUGAAAGGGGAGUGGUUCUUCCACAUUUCGAAGGAAACAUUCAGCAAGAAAGGGAGGAGAAAUCGGUGUUUGCAAACAGGGGCCGAGGAUGAUUUCGUCAGCUACUUCUUCUGUGGAGCUUUGAGGCGAUAGGAGAACAUUUUUUGCAUGUUCCUAUGACUAGAUUUGUUUGAAACAAGCAAGAAAAGUGUCGGGAUUAUACGAUCAAUACAUGGUAGGACCAGAAGGGGACCGGAAAUGUUAAAGAUGACCAAAAAAUAUAUAUAUAAAUUCAAUCUUGAGACUCGAUGCUUCAAUGGCAUCAAAAGCAGCAAAGGAAGGUCAAGAGCUACAAAUACAGAGGAAAAGGAAAAAAAAUGAAAUAUUCAAAAAAGACGUGGGUUUGGAAACCCUAAAAAGCACCAACUUGCGUACGAAAGGAGGUUGAAACAACAGCACGAGAAGAAUGAGGUGAUAAUGCUAGUCAAUACAAUCAUCAAUAUAUUUAAAAGAAUUAAAACAAGCAAUCUAGACUAUGUAUGAAAUGAAAAGUUGAAUGGUGAGGCUUAUACCUUCAUGGAUUAUUAAUUUUAGAGCGAUUGGAUCAUCACGCAAGAAAUUUAAAAAAACGUUGGAGGGAAUUUGUCAAAUUCAAUAAGUUGAUGUAGGUAUAAAUUUUAAAUAAGAGGCUUUAUGGAUAAUCAAAUAUUCGACCUAUGUUCCAAGUGAACGCCUUUUUUACCUACAAGUUUGAUGAAUUAUUAGCCAUUGACUAUAUUCUUUUUAAUUUUCGUUUUAGGCUUGACUAUAGCGUCGGUGGUGUAGAAUUUCUAUCGGUUCUUGUGGUUGUUGGUAUGUGUAUUGAUGGAUCCAUGGAAUAGGAUAUGAAUUAUAUGUAUAAAUAAGUUCUAUGCUCAUUUAAAUUCUUCCACUAUUUUAUUUCGAAAUAAAAAAGGGAAAAUUACCAAUUAGUCAUCAAUCUAUUGUAUAAAUGUUAAUUCAAUCCUAAACUUUUUAAUUUUACUAAUUGAGUCCUAAUUUGAAUAACUCACCAAAAUAGUCUUGAAUCUAUUGCACUUCCGCUAAUUUAGUCCUAAACCUUUCAAUUUGAUUAAUUUAGUCUUAAAGUUUUUGUCAAUUAAGUUAUUCCCACCAAUUUUGAUUGAAAAUUACUGACAUUGAAACUAGAUAUUAUAUGUAGCAUAGUUGGCAAUGAUUUGGAUAAUUUUUGUAAUUUUUCAAUAUUUUUAUUUUUAUUAUUUUUUGAAUUAUUUAUUUAUUUAUUUCUUUAUUUUCAUUUUCCAAGUGACUAUCAUCAACGACCCUUGUCAACUACAAGAGCCUUGCCCCCAACUAGCAAAGCCACAAAGGCUUUCGCCUUGACCUGGUAAGGGUCUUCACACCGUUGCCGCAACCUCACCUAAGGCCCUUAUGGCUGGCAAGGGUCGCUUGUGACCCUUGUUGACCACAAUGUAAAAAAGCAAAGAAAAAAUUAAAAGAAAAUUAAAAAAUCAGAAAAAAUUAAAAAAUUAUUCACAUUAGCACUAGUCAAGCCAUGUAAAAUACCUGAGGUCCAUAUCAAUAAUUUUCAAAUAAAAUUGGCUAGAAUGACUCAAUUGGUAAAUUAUUAAAAGGUUUAGAACUAAAUUAGCCAAAAUAUAAUGUUUAUGACUUGCAAUUGAUUUACAACUUUGUUUUUGUUUUUUUUUAUGCUCAAGAACCUUGUACAGCCGGUAGCCAGUGAGUAAACCUUGGGGCGAUGCUAGCGGAGGACCUACCACCUCGAUGUCGCGCUUAAGAUCCCAUACAUCCCACGGGAUUUUAACCCCUCCUUCUUGGGUAGACUUCAUGGGAGCUUUUAUCUAACUAGACCACCACAGGCGGUGAUGAUUUACAACUUUUUUGGUAAUUUUUUUUUUCUUUUUUGAUGACCCGGGAACCACCGUACAAACGGCAGUUGACGGCGUAAACCCGGGGCGACUGAGCUACCACCACAGACCCAGCAGCGGGUGAGUCGCGUAAUAGGGACACGGGCUUUCAAGUGAACGACCAGGGUCAAUCUCAACCCGAGAACCCGACCCGGUUCAUUUUUUUUAAUAUAUUAAUAUAAUAAUAAAAAUAAUAUUUUAAUAAAUAAAAAAUAAUUUUUUUCCAAAAAAAAUAAAAGCCCGGGAUUUUUUCCUUUAUAAAAAAAUUUAACCGAUUUUAGCUCACUUAAAAAUUCUAGCCCAACACAACCUAGCCCACGUGUAUAGGCUUGACCCAAGGAAACCCUACUUGGAAACAGGGAAACCGGGUUGGACGAACCCAUGAAUCGACCCGGUUUCCGACCUCCUCUCCCCUUUGCUCCUUCAUGGCGCUGGUGAGGGGGACUGAGGCGUCACCAGGCAAACGGCAGCGAUGGCGGCAACGACGGGCUUGACGGCGAUGACAAGCUAGACAACAAUGAUGGCGGUGACAGCAGCUACAAAUCGCUUACGAGGACGGCGAGGACGAGUGACAACAGAGUUAUGCUGAUGUGGUCAGUGGCGACACGGUUCGAGGAGGGGAAUGCGCCGAUCGCGUUGUUGGCGGCAGCAACGGCUACUGUUACCUGUCUGUGACGAGGCAGCGAAUGGUGGUGGUGACAGGGCAACGACAGCAACACGGCUCAGGUGGCAGCCGCAGCAGCAGUAGGAACAGCUUCAGAAUGGUGGCGGAGCAGUGGUUGCGUCGGCGACGGCGAGUCUUCUCCCUUCGGAUAUGGCCUUUGACCAUCCAAUUCCUCUCUCGCUCAACCUCCACCUGCUUGGAUCUCUCCCCCUCAGGCUCGCUUGCCACCGGCCUCCCCCAAAGUCUCUCAAAGAGAGGUCAUUUGAGCUCACGAUCCGAUUUCUCUCGCGUGCUCGCUCUUUGAUUCUCCCCUAAAGUCUCUCAAAGGAAGAUCUCCGAGUUCGCCGCGUCCCUCGACAGAGCUUGUGGCUGCCUAUUUAUAGGCGAGGGGGGGUCCGAUCGAUGGAGGGUCUCGGCUGGCCUUUGGCUUACCAAGCGGUCCUCCUCGAUUAAAUCAGCGUCCCAUCCGAGCUUUUCCAGCAAAGCAUGCUCGGCAUUGAAGGCAACCAUUAAUGGUGCCUGAGAUCUGUCAUCUCCAGUCGACGUUGGCCUACCCUCCUCGGCUGUAGGUUGUCCUUCGUGCGUCGGUCUCUUCUGUGCGUGUGAGUUGCAAAGGCAGAGGGGAAGAAGAGGGAGGAAGGAAGAAGAAGAAGAGAGCGGGGUCGGGCUGGUCAUGCGGGCCGAGCCAUGGGGGGCCUGCGAGAGAGAAAAAAGGAGGGGCUGGGCUCGAAGGCCUAGCUCGACGAGCUACAUUUGCUUUUUCCGUUUUUUUUUUCUUGUUGUUUUUUCUGUUUUUGUUAUUUAUUAUUUAUUAUUCGAAAAAAUGAAAAAUAAAAGAAAUUAAGGCCUAAUUAAUAACCUAAUCAAAAUUUAGGCGUCAACAGCUACCCUUCUUUGAAGGUGAGUUUGCAGAGGUUGCAUUCAAAGACAAACUAAUGCCUAAAUUUUAUCCAUGUAUGUGUAGCAGAUUAUAUUUUAUUUGGGACCUAUUGUCCUAUGCAGAAAAAGAGUAAUAUAACAUUACACAUACUAAUACAAAUAAGAAGAUACAUGUAGUUACUUACCGGGAGUGAGUGAGAUAGAGUGUGAACCCCAAGUUUGGCAAGUAUCAAAGUGUCAUCUUACCUGGUGACAUGAGGAGGUUGCUUCUCUAGGACACAAACCAUUCUUCGGUCACUUGUUAGAGUAAUAAGUGGUUUGUCUAGGUCCCGAACCUUUCUUUGGUUACCUUGACGAGGAAUUGCUUUUUCAAGACCCGAAUCUUUCUUUAGUUGCUUGUUAGAGCAAUAAGUGGUUUGUCGAGAACCUGAACCUUUAUUCGAUUGCCUUAACAAGGAAUUGCCUUCCCGGGGCCCGAACCAUUCUUCGGUCGCCUGUUAAAGUAAUAAGUAAUUUGUCCUAGACCUGAACCUUUCUUCGAUCGCCUUAAUAGGGAAUUGCCUUCCUAGGGCCCGAACCAUUCUUUAGUCGCCUGUUAGAGCAAUAAGUGGUUUGUUUAGGAUUCGAACCUUUCUUCGAUCGCCUGUUAGAGCAAUGAGUUGUUUACCUGACCUUUCUCGGGAGAUGUGCUGACCUUUCUCGAGACAUCUGUUCAUGGGUGCCUGAUCUUUAUCAAGGACACUAGUCGGUACCCGACCUUUCUCGGGAGAUGUGCCGACCUUUCUCAGGUAAUCGGUUUGUGGAGUGUCUGACCUUUGUCAAGGACACUAGUUGGUGCCCGACCUUUCUCGGGAGAUACACCAACCUUUCUCAGGGCAUCAAUUUGUGAGGUGCCUGAUCUCUAUCAAGGACACCAGUUGGUACUCGACCUUUCUUGGGAGAUGCAUCGACCUUUCUCAAGGCAUCGAUUUGUUAGGGUGCCUGACCUCAGUCAAAGAUCGGUUGGUACCCGACCUUUCUUGGGAGAUGCGCCGACCUUUCUCAGGGCAUGGAUUUGUGGAAGAUACCUGGAAAUUUACAGGCAUUUGAAAGAGUACCUAGAUAUUCACAAGUACUAACAUGGAGAAUAUUUGGGCCUUUGCAGGUGUCGAAGGGGUACUUGGAUCAUCACAAAUGCAAAUUUUGAAAGGUGCCUAGACAUUUGCAUAUGUUGAAGGAGUACCCGAUUGCUUGCAGGUGUCGAAAGAGUAAUUGGAUGAUCACAAGUACGAAUUUUUGGAGGAUACCUGGAUGUUCGCAGGUAUCGAAGGGGUACCUAGAUGAUUGCAAGUACUAAACUCUAGAAAAUGGAAUAUCGAUGACGUACCUGAGAUAUUCGUGAAGGUCUCUCAUCUUCUGGUAUGUGGGAAUAUCGAUGAUGUACCUUGGAUAUUUGUGAAGGUCUCUCACCUCCUAGUAGUUGGAAUAUCGAUGACGUACCAUAGAUAUUCAUGAAAGUCUCUCACCCCCUGGUAAUUGGGAAUAUCGAGAACGUGCCUCGCAUAUUCAUGAAGGUCUCUAACCUCCUGGUAAUUGGGAAUAACUGGACAGUCAUAAACAUCUAAGCACAGAGGACAACUCUAAUGGGUCGAGUGUUAAGAAGAGGGAGUACCUGAAUAGUGGUAGGUACUCGAAGACAUGAUUUUUUUGAAAUAAUGGUAAAGAUAUGUUUACCUGAUGACAUAUCUGCUCUCUAAAAGUAUGUCUGCUAUUUGCACAGUAUGCACACAUGAUUAUAUAUGCUAUAAAUUCAUGAAUUUAAAUAUGAUUCAUGCAUGACAAUCUUGUCAGUUUUGCAUCAUCCAAAUUCCACUGGGAAAUUUGAAAGACAACAUUCAUUUAGAAUGUAGAUGUCUUGAGCAUGCCAGAUGAGGGACUUUCGAUCUAAAAGGACUUUCUGCUCACUCUUAGGGGAAAUGCUAUUUUAUCCUGACCAUUGAUGUAGGAUUUAUAAUGACCACACUAUCUCACUGUCAUCAUGUCAGCAAUGGUCCGAGUAUUCUCGCAAGCGGUACGAUUUUACCAAUGUGAGAGGUCUUUGUUGAAAUUGUGGUGAAGACUUAGUCAAUGGCUCAUCAAAUGAGACCGUCGAGGGCAAGGCUUAUGAACGAAGUGCCGCACGAUCAUCUCCGGGUUUACAAGUCAAGAACCCUGCAAAAAGAGAUAGAGUAAUCUUAUUCGUACUUCUUCGAGCGAUGCUUAAUGUACAUAUGAAAUCCUAUAUUAAUUGAAAUGCCCUAGUCUAAAGAGACUUUUACAAUGGGAAUGUAACGUAAACUUUGACUCAUGUGUAAGAGGGUGAGAGUUGGUGAUUAGCUUGGCACUUGUCGUCGGUCUUUCUUCUCACUGUCAGAUGGAGGUUUUACAACCGCAACUUUUUCUUGGUUGUUUUUUUUACUGGGGGGCAUCAGCCUUGUUUUUACUAGGCACACUGCUUUUUCAUGCCCCUAGUUUUUAUUCCAAUUUUUCAUUCAUGGGCAUUGACCUUGCUUUUACCAGAUAUACUGCUUUUUCAUGCCCCUAGUUUUUUUGUUGUUAGAGAAACUAGCCUAGGCAAGUUCAAUUGAAGCACCGUUAGUAGACUCUUAAGUCUUCAUCUUCAGCCGGCUCUCUAGGCUAUGGCAAUGACUUCUGUUUUGUCUCAAUGUGAGCAUAAAAUUACAGACUCACUUGGGCUGUACAAUGAAUACAAGUGCGUAGAGAAAGAAUUGUUCUGUCAUUCUAGGGCACUUAAAUUAACGCGGGUAUUCAUAUGCAAUAAAGACACCCAAAGAUUAAUGCAAGUGUGAGCAAGAAAAUUUCUAUCCCCUUUCUCACCAUGUGAUAUUGCUUCGCUUUCAAUCUGCCCCAGUGUGGGGUGGUUUUUGAUGGGGGGUAGGACAGAAACUUCAUUAGUGUAUAAAGUUCAAAGGGGUGAGCAAUGAAAUACCUCUCACUGUUUUGGUUAUCAUACCAUUCGCGAGAGAACUCUUUAUCUUGCGGUCAUGGAAUCUUCUACACUCAUCUCACAAGUGCAUAGAUGAGGGAUUGUGUGUAGGAUAUGUCUUGCCUUUCAUCAUUCUGACGCGCCUCAUUCAACAUGCUCAAUCAAUCUUGUAUUCUUCACUUAGCUAUUUAUUCUAAUAAUCCUUAUAGAAUUAGUGAUUUUAAACAAACAAAAUCAUCAUGCAAAAUCCAUUUGGAAAAGGCAUGCACCAUUUUAAAUAUGAUGGAGUUUGAACUCUCAAAACAAAUUAAUGGUUUUUACUCAAGAAACCCUAUUAACGGCUUUAGGGGUGUUAACUUGGUGGAAUUGUAUUUACAAAUGUGUUCAAUUUUGAACAUCAAAAGAGUUAUUCACAAAUGGGUGUCCAUGAAUUGUUCUUAUUAAGUAGGGAAAUGACACAAGAAGGAUUAGUUGGGGUUGGGGAUCUGAUCAUUGAUUUGACGGGCCUUUCUACUUUUGCCCCUGCAAAAGAGAAGAUGUAAAUGGAUUAAUCAGUAGGGCUAAAAUUAAAAGUGAAUUGAGGCCUGAGGGAUCUCUGUCAUUUGCUUUGGCGAUACUUGAGACGCCAUUUUGUUUGGGAGAGCUUAUUAGAGUCUAACAUGCCUCUCAUUGAUUUGUUUUCUGCAUCUUUGACAGUCAGGUGAUCCUGAGGCAUGAGGAGGAUAUGAAGUCUUGCACUUUGCUUCAUUAGGUCAAUUAUUCUUUGAAUUGGCUUCUAGAUGACACGUCCUUUUAUACGAAGUUAGGUGAAUUAGAUGCGGGUCAUUUCCAUGUACUAGCUUGGCCAGUAUUGAUUUGCCAAACCUGACCAUCAAGUUUGGCUCUUGAAUCUCAAUGCUUCCUACCGAUAAGGAAGAUAUGUCAAAAAUGAGUUCAGAGAGAGAGUAUUGGAAACGAUACCAAAUUACCCAUUCCUAGAAUUUGUAUUUGUUGACUCCUAGGGAUCUCUAUAUGUUGAUGACAGUUUCUUCAUCUUGACACAAUUCGACAUCUCUUUCAAUUGGCCUUUCUCAUGCGUGGCCAUAUAUGCAUGAUUGAUGGUCGUUGAUUCAUCUUCAACGACUUCCUUCUGUGAAAUUUUUCUUCUGUCUUUGACCGUAUGAUUAUUAGUAGCAUUGAGCAAAGUCAUGUACUUCAAGCUUCUAUGGAAUCUAAGAUGGAAAACCUCCAGUUUUCUGAUAGCAAUCACUUCUUACGAGAGCAUGCGUCUGGAACAAAAAUUGAGGUUUCCCAAUUCCAAGGUCAUUGUCUGGGAUAGAGGGUUUCUUUUUUAACCGGACUGAUUCCUAGACGAUACAUCUUUUACACCAAGGUAGGCGAAUUCAACAUGGGUCAUUCCUAUGCAUUUGCCUAGGUAAUAUUGAUUUGCCCAAAUUAUUCCAUCAAGUUUGUUGCCUGAUUCCCGACACUUCCUUAAAUGCUGGUGAUUACCAUUCAUUCUUCUGCACUGAAAUAACCAAACACAUUUUCAUGAUGGUGUAAAUACAUCACUCAUAUAUAAAAGGCGCAUAGGCAUUUUCAUUCCGAUAGAGAAAUGCUUGGCAAUUACAGACAAUGAACAUCUUUCAAGGGUAGUACUUUUUUACAGCACCAGAAUUGACCGAUUUGGAGAAUUCCCACCCAUCCAUUUCAGUUAGGAUCAAGGCUCCUCUAGGGAGUAUCUUCUUUAUCACAUAGGGACCCUUGCAAUUUGGGGCAAACUUGCCUCCGGGCUCUGGAAAGAUUGACAGUGUCUUUCUCAAGACUAGCUCAUUUACCUCAAAGUGCUUGGGUAGCACCUUUUGAUUGAACGAUCAAGUUACCUUCUACUGGUAACACUGACCAUGACAGAGGGCUUUCAGUCCUUUUUUUCGAUCAUAUUCAGUUGCUCGAGCCUUUGUUGUGUCCGUUCUUCCUUGGACAAUCUUGCCUGGGAUAAAAUUCGUAAGGAAGUGAUUUCUACUUCUACAGGCAAAACUGCUUCCAUGCCGUAAACCAGGGAAAAAGGGGUUGCCCCAAUGGAAGUUUGAAUCGAGGUUUGAUAUGCUGUUAGAGCGAAGGGUAACCUCUCAUGCCAGUCACGGUAGUUUUUAGUUGUCUUGGCUAGGAUUCUCUUGAUGUUCUUGUUGACGGCCUCCACAGCUCUAUUCAUUUGUGGACGAUAAGGGGAUGAGUUCAGAUGUUGGAUUUUGAACUUAGAAAACAAUUUAUCAAUCAACUUGUUGUUCAGGUUUGACCCAUUAUCGGUGACGAUAGUUUCCAAGACACCAUAACGGGCGAUUAUAUCACGUCUAAUGAACUUCAUAAUGUUUCGUGUAAUUACGCUUGCAUAGGACGUGUCCUCGAUCCAUUUUGAGAAGUAAUCGAUGGCAACCAAAAUGAACCGGUGCCCGUUUGAUGCCUUCGGAUUGGUUGGGCCAAUUACACCAAUGCCCCACAUUGAAAAUGGCCACGGCUCAAAUAACUGAUGCAGUUCAGCUGGAGGGACAUUUAUCUUGUCCCCGUGAAUCUGACAACGAUGACAGCUUUGCACAUGUUGGGCACAAUCGCUCUCUAAAGGGAGCCAAUAAUAACCCACUCUCAUUAUUUUCUUGGCCAACAUACGUCCAUUCAUGUAAGGGCCACAUACUCCCUCAUGUAUUUCUUGCAUUAUUUGUGUGACUUCAGUUGCAUCCACACACCUUAGCAAGAUUGAUUCAUAUGAUCUUUUGUACAAAUUUUCACCGCUGACAAAGAACCUCGAAGCCAUUUUCAUUAGGUAUUUUCGAUCAGAGUGAGUGCUUUCUUUAGGGAAUUCCUGCUUCUAGACGUAUUUCAUGAUAUCGUAAUACCAGGGUUUCCCGUCGGGUUCUUCAAUUAUAGUCAUGCAGUGGGCCUGUCUUGCCAAGACUUCAAUCUUUAAAGACUCUACUUCUAACCCUUUCAUUACUUGCAACAUAGAUGAUAGCAUUGCUAGUGUAUCAGCGAACUGAUUAUGAAUUCUAGGUAGGUAUUCAAACGAGGCAUCCUAGAAUUCUCCCACCAAUUCUUCCAAGUAGUCGUGAUAAGGCACCAAUUUGGCAUCUCUUGUCUUCCACUCGCCUAAAGUCUGGAGGAUAAUUAAGGCAGAGUCAUCGAACACUUUUAGUUUUGACACUUUCAUUACAAUAGCCACUUGCAAGCCGAGGAUGCAUGCUUCAUAUUCGGCUAUAUUGUUGAUGCACAGAAACAUCACUUUUGCAGCUACAAGAUAAUGUUGCCCAUUUGGGAAUAUCAAGACCGCCCCGUGCCGGAACCUGACAAAUUUAUAGCUCCAUCGAAGAAUAUAGUCCAAGUGUCUUCUUCUACUGUUGAAAUCCGGUCGUCUGGGAAAUUAUCCUCGUGUACUUCCUUAGGGCAAUCUGCUAACAUAUUGACAAUCACUCGACCUUUAACUGAUUUUUACAACAUCACUUGGAUGUCGAAUUCUGAGAUCAGGAUUUGCCAUUUGGCCAAUUUUCCCACCAAGGCCGGGCGACCAAGCAAAUACUUGAUCGGGUCACUCUCAAUUAUAAGGAAUGUUUGGUAAUGCAAGGUAUACUAACAGAGUCUGUAUAACACCCAUACCAAUGCAACGCAUGUUUUUUCUGAUUUGGAGUAGUUUUGUUCCGACGUGGUGAACUUUUUACUCAAAUAGUAAAUGGCUCGCUCCUUCCCGUCAUGGGGCCCUUUCUGUACCAGCAUUGCACCUAGGGAUUUACUAUUGGUGGUAAGAUAGAAAAUUAAAGGGUGCCCCAGGACUGAAGGUACUAGAAUCGGGGGUUUCAUCAGGUACUGCUUUAGAUUUUCAAACGCCAAUCAGCAAUCAUCAUCCCAUUUAAUUUGUGCAUCCUUCCUGAUAAGUUUAAAGAAAGGUUUUACAAUUUCAGAAAGUUGGGAAAUGAAUCGCACAAUAUAAUUUAAUCUUCCUAGAAGGCUCCAGACUUCUUUUACAGUCGAGGGAGGAGGCAUCUCAAAUAUCGCUUUAGUUUUUUACGAGUCCACUUCUAUCCCUUCACAGCUCACGAUGAACCCAAGUAAUUUGCCAAAAGUUUCCCUGAACACACAUUUCGCUUGGUUCAAGCGUAACUUGAACUGGCGAAGCCGAUCGAAUAAUUUCUCUAGGGUCUUCACAUGGUCUUCUCCAUGUCUGGUUUUGGCAAUCAUGUCAUCGACAUAUAAUUCAAUUUCUUUGUGCAUCAUGUCAUGGGAAAUGGUGACCAUGGCACGUUGAUAAGUUGCUCCAGCAUUUUUCAGGCCAAAAGGCAUGACCUUAUAGUGAAAAGUUUCCCAUGGAGUAAUUAAUGCCAUUUUUUCCUUGUCUUCCUCCUUCAUUUUUAUUUGGUUGUAUCCCGAGAAUCCAUCCAUGAAAGAGAAAUGUUUGAAUCCAACAGUACUAUCCACAAGAAUGUCUAUGUGGGGUAGCGGGAAAUCAUCUUUUGGGCUUGCUUUGUUCAAGUCGUAGUAGUCAACACAACCCGAAUUCGACCAUCCUUCUUCUUCACUAGUACAAUGUUCGCUACCCAACUGGGGUAUCGUGAGACUUCGAGGAAACCCACUUCUAUGAGCUUCAUUACCUCUUAUUCAAUCUUUUUUGACAACUCUUGCUUGGUUCUUCUUAGCCAUUGCUUCUUAGGGGCUACAUCGAGGUUGGUUGGCAAGUUAUGCUCCAUGAUCAUUGGAUCGAGGCCUGGUAUAUCGACAUAUGACCAUGCGAAUACGUCUUAAUACCUCUUUAGGAGUGCAAUUAACCUUGAAGCUUCUUCUUUAGGAAGGUUCGCGUUGAUCUUUAUCUCCCUUGGACCUUCUGUGCUGCCUAAAUUGAUAGUGAUGGUGUCUUUAGUAGUAGGGAGCCUUGCUUCUUCGCAUAGCUCCCAAUUCCAUUGAAUUUCGUCGGAAUCAUCAAAAUCAUCAUCUGAGUUACUAGAAUUGCUAUCAUGGCUACUUACGGUGUUGAUUUGGACCGUUCUCGUACUCUCGUUUGCUGCUAGAUUACUCCUGUGUCAUAAAGUAGAUAGGCUAAGGGAACAAAUAAGGUUAACAGCAUGCAUGCUUCUUUUUUUGAAAAGGUGAUGAAUUGUUCUUGAAGAUUUAAGAUGAGGAAGCAUGAGGAAACCUGGGCCUUAGAUUUCUUCUUUCAUUUCGUGGUUGGAUAUCAUCAACGGGCCAAUUUGGUGUGUCUCCUUAUGCCCUCAAAAUAUUUUCAACUUUAUUUGAUAGUAGGUUGAUUUACAUUUUGGAAGAGUGAUUUCAAAAGUUAGUUCCUUAAGUGGAAGUGAUGUUGAAAACAAAACAAACCAAACUUAAGAAAUAUGUACAAGCUCCCACGUAGGGGAGUAUGCAAGGGAAUAAAAAAAAUGUUCUACUCGAGCGGGCCUGCACCCAUUUCCCCUGACGGUCCUUCGUUGAUAGCGCCCACGAAGAAGUCUUCAUACCAGGCACCAGUCACGCCUCCUUGUGCUCCUAGCUUUAUGAAUUUCAAAUUGUCCAUGCCUCCCCAUCCAUCAAGGACAAUGCUUUGAUGAUGGUCAUAGAAACCUUGGGGGAUCGAAUAGUUGACAUAGUAGUCGAAUUUACCACUUGGUUGGCCCAAAGUGUCCAUGAUUGCCUUUCCUCUAUGCGUUUCCUUAGCAUGCUUAAGGAGAAUGGUAUGUGUGACAUCCCGAUUUUUCUAAUUCUAUUUUCAGCUGAUUGAGUCGGGCAUUUCAUCUGUGCAUAUAGUUCGUCUCUCUGAGUUGGCCACUCAUGAGAGGACUAACCUAUUGGACGAAGCAAUUAAGGGAUUUUAACGCGUCAAACUUGGGGACUGAUCACCCUCAGGUCGGAUGCAAGAAAAUUUCCCCGAAAGCUACCCGGGUGGUUAGGCAUGCUGAAAUCGCACAAAAUUGAAUUUAACCGUAAAAAUUUGGAAUUGAAUUUAGAAGUUGGAAGCUUGGUUAUGUCACACAUCUCAUUAGGAUCAUGGGAUAAUUUUUGUGGAUUUUAAUUGGAUUCAUUUAGAAGAGAAUUGAUGGGAAUUGAAGAAAUUGUUGCACAAAGUUUUAUGCCCCGGCGGAAAAUGAAAUUGGACCCAUUGAAAUAGGUUGAAGAGGAAAUGAGUUAGUGGAUGAUGACAUCAUAGAGUGAUGUCAUGGUGGGUGGCCAAUUGGUGGAGAUCUUGACAAGUGGAGGGGUGGAUUUAAUCCCCAAAAAGUGAAGGGCCCCACCACUUCAUCUUCAAGCUUAGGAAGAGAGAGAAGGGGAAGAGGAGCUGCUGGUGCGACCAGCAAGCUCGUCCGCUCACUCGGCCGCUCGUCGCCGUCGCUGCUUGCACGCCAUCGUUGCCGCCGUUUGCACCGCCGAGCUGCUCGCUGUCCGCCCGCACCACCGUCGCUCUCUCUCUCCCGCUCCUUUCCGUUCGUCGCCCAGCAGACGAGUGAACCAGAGCAGCCCCGUCCGAAGCCGCACGCCACUGGAGGAGCCUCUGCCACCGCCCGUCGCCGCCCUUGCGCGCCGUUGCUGCCACGCGCCUCCGCCUCCCUCAUGCCGUCGUCCCUGCAUCAGCCAAGUUCCAGCGGCCAUUUCAGAUCUGGUGGAGCUCCGAUGAAGCCGUCCAGCCGCCCGUUCGUCGUCGCCAAGGCCGCCGGAGGCCUACCUGGCCGCCGUGAGCCACCGCCCGAGCUGCUGCCCCUCUCCUCCGCCCAUUCCGACCCAAACCGGCGCCGGAUCCGCCUCCUCCAGCCCCAAACCAGUAGUUGCAAAAAUGGGUAUGGCAGCGGGUGUUUGGCCUGUUUUGGCCGCCUUCCCGAGCCCGAAUGCUCGGCCCGCCUUGAGGAGAGUCGAUCCUCGCGUCGUCCUCGUCGUUUUGGUCCGCUCGGCUCGCUAAUCCGGUGAGUUUAACUCACUAAACCUUGAUUAGAGGGUUAAUGAUGCUUUAUGGGUGCUUAGUUUAUGUUAAGUGUUAUUAGGUGGUUAGUUUAAUUUAUUUAAGUGUAGAUUAUAUUAAGGUGUUUGAUUAACUUAAAUUGUGUUUAAUUUAAGGUUAAGUGAGUGGUUAUAUUAAUAUAAACUGUGAUGUGACAUAAAGGAAUUUACUUUUGAUUUAUUUAAAUAUUUCGAAAUUGUUUAAUAAUUUAAUUAUAUUAUAUUAUUCGAAAUUAUUAAAAUAUUAUUAUUUAAUUAUUUUCGGAAUAAAUUUAAUUAAUUAUUAAAUUCCGAAAAUUUUGUCAAGACCCUAAAUUCUCAGAAUUUCGUGCCAGUCGCUGCUGUGUAGUCAGAUUUUGAAAUUGAUGAUUGGAUAUUAUAAAUUGAGUGUGGAUUGUGAAAAGUAUGGAUUUUAUUUAGAAAAUCCCAAGGGUCGAGUUUGGCAUUGAAAUUGGAUUGUUAAUGGUUAAUAUUGUAAUUGGAUUAUGUGAGUGAAAUGUAAAGUAUCCAGGGAUCGGUAUCGAAUUGUCGUUUGCUAGUUGAAAGGCUCGGGUCGCAGUAGUGGCGAGACCGACUGGAUCCUUAUUCUUAUAGAAAUGCCGUCAAGAGAAUGACGUGGCUUGGUCGCAGUAGUGGCCAGACCGACUGGACCUUUAUUAUUCUAGAAAUGGCGUCAAGAGAAUGACGUGGCUUGGUCGCAGUAGUGGCGAGACCGACUGGACCUUUAUUAUUCUAGAAAUUCUGUCAAGAGAAUGACGUGGCUUGGUCGCAGUAGUGGCCAGACCGACUGGACCUUUAUUCUUCUAGAAAUGCCAUCAAAAGAAUGACGUGGCUUGGUCACAGUAGUGGCGAGACCGACUGGACCUUUAUUCUUCUAGAAAUGCCGUCAAGAGAAUGACGUGGCUUGGUCGCAGUAGUGGCGAGACCGACUAGACCUUUAUUCUUCUAGAAAUGCCGUAAUGUUAGUAGAUAGCCGACCCGCGAGUAGGCUAUGCCCUUGUGUGGCAGUGAAUAAUAAUUGGAAUGCGUGCUAAGUGCGAUCGUGAUUUAUAUGAAAGUGAUGGCGUUCCAAUUGUUUGAAUUAUUAUUAUUACCUGAGAUUGUGUGAUACAAAUUGUGCUAACCUGCAAGAAGGAAUUGAGGCGAGGUAAGUUCUCUAUGUGAUGUGGCUAGGCCACUCUUGGGCGUAUUUUCUUUCUAAUAGGGGUUUAGGGGGUUGAACUUGCUGAGACAUUGUCUCAUCCCGGUUGUGGGAUUAAAAUUUCAGGUUCCUGGUGGACGGAGCGGCCAGAUAGCUUUGGUUGGCCUUGAGGAGUUGCAGAGGUGAAGUCAUAAGAUUGGAGAACGUGUCUGACUUGUAGGUCGUAGGACAAUUCAUUUUUAAGAGCCGGUCUUUUGUAGACUUUUGGCCGUAGACCUCUGUUUGUAAUUCUGUUGAAUUAUGGAAGUGUUAUGUUUUGGUUUUGCUUCCUGCUUUUCUAUCCUGUAUUUUAUUGUCAGGGGUUUUAUAAUACGUUCCGCUUGCGCAUUAAUAAAUGUAUGGGGUCGGCGACACUACCUGGGAAUGUCGCAUUUGCAUGACCAUGGUGGGAUGUUGGCGCGCUCGAGGUUCGGGGCGUGACAGUAUGGGUGCUAGGUACCACAAGGAGGUAAUAUUUGCCAUAACAUAGCCACGAGGAGCGGAACGUGAAUACCCAAGCAUCCAAAAGAUCCUGAAUCUUAUAUCUUAGGAUGGUACAGUCAUCUAGCAAGUGUCCUAAUUCCCCAAAAUGAUAGUCAUAGUACUUGGAUGGAUCAUAAUCAAGGAAGUGCUCGGAAGUAGGACAUCUCAGUUCCCUAGAGAUUAUUCCUUGCUCUAGGAGGAUGGGGAAAAUAGUGACCAUCGAUUCAGGAAGAGGCAAAUAUGGCCACGUGUUUCUUGAGGACUGGGGUAGCCAAGCCCCUUGCCAGAUCAUGUUAGUAGGGUAUUCUUCAUUUACUUUGGCUACCAACUCCUCAUUGUGACGAGAGAGGAAUGUACGGGUAGCUUGAGCGAAAUUUUCUAUCAAGUGGUGUACUGUCUUGCAUAGUUCAUCAACUUGACUUUAAAGUUGGGUGAACGAAAAUUUAUUGCAUGUUUCUUCUAGUUGUUCCUCCUCAAUGGAACCUAUGAAAAGGUCUCCAAUCAUGAUGGUCACGUCAUCCGGCCCUUCUUUCUUUGUAAGUACGGGAUGAGUUAUGUUCUUUUGACCUAUGCCCAAGUAAAUGGGAUACUUCAGGCUUUCAUGGUUGAAUUGUUUUGGAACGCUGAUCAUUUCUUCUUCCUCAUGCAUCAUCUUCGCAGGGCCUGGGAAGGUUUCCUCAAGGUGAGGGUAUACAAGGCCAGCCUUCUUUUUUGCCUUUUCUUCCAAGUGUUGUUCCUUAUAUCCUAAACCGCUGGUGUGGGGUCUCCUCAAGGCUUUGAUAGGCUCGCGGAUGCCUUGGUUUCCCUUGCUGAGCCCUUGACUCGGGACAAAAUUGUAUCCAAUCAUGAUUUUCCCUACCAUGAUUGCAGCGCUUGAUAUUUCGAGGACGAGGGGUGGAGUUCCUCGAGUUUCAUGUAUAGCAGACACAAGCUUAAACGAUUGAUAGCUGGAUUCAUUUUUGUCACAAGGUUCAACAUAAGGGAUGGUUGUCUUGUGAUAGAUGCGGUGAUCUUUUUCUCCGCAGACCGUGAUCAGUUUUCCUCCAACCAUGAACUUUACAUUUUGGUGGAGGCUUGAAGGUACUGCUCUAACAACGUGGAUCCAUGGGUGGCCUAAGAGGAAAUUAAACGCAGUGGGGAUAUUCAUCACUUGGAACAAAAUUUUGAAUAUGGUUGGACCUAUUUGAAUGUCAAGCUCGAUUUCUCCCACUGUUUCCUUCUUCAUUCCAUCGAAUGUUUGAACGAAAGUCUUGGGUGUCUGGAUCCGUGAUGUCUCUACUUUAAGACGACAGAGUAUCGCUAGUGGACAUAUGUUAAGAGCAAAUCCAUUGUCAAUCAGUACUCGAGCAACGUGAGAUGCCAACGUGAGAUGCGUUGCACUUGAUUAAUAUGUAGAGACCCUUGGUGUGUCCUUUACCCUCAUCGGGGAUCUCUUCAUCAAAAAACGCCAUUUGAUCUUUUAGAAGGAUGGUACUGACAAACUCGAGGAGUUUGUCAUGCUCAAUUGUUUCAGGACAUGUACUUCAUGAAGGAUUUCUGGUGCUUGACAGAUGUUUGAAGUAAUUCUAGUAGAGAGAUAUGUGCUGGCGAUUUCCGUAAUUGUACAACCACAUUGUACUCGCUGGCUUUAACUACGGCAAAAAACUCCUUGGCUUCUUCGUCAGUGAUGGGCUUGGCAGGCUACAUAUUGGCUUGAGCAUAGGUUUGCCCAAAUCUCGUGACUAAGCCAACAUCGAGGUCGUAAGACCACGGUACUGCAUUGUUGCCUUCGUAUUUGUAAGGCUGGGGGAUCUCAAUGGCUAUAGCUGCUUCUACUAUCAAUGCUUGAAUUAUGGCUCCUUUCACUUCAAAGAUGCCCUCAGGUGGGGUGGAAUCCUUCUUCUCCCUUCUUGCGUUUAGUGCGGCAAAUUCUUUAUCCCAGUUGAUGACGACUUGCGAUAUAGUAGAGACCAUGCCAGUGUGGCUAGCGUACACAAUUAUUCCAGCCUCUAUCAUUCUUGACACCCUUUCUUUCAUUGUUGCUAAGGGUGGUACUUCAUUACUUGAAUAAUACCCGGCUUCUACUAGCCCUCGAUAGAUGUCAACAAUAUGUGCAUUGACACUUCUGAUUUAGCUGGCUUAAGAACUAAAUAUCGCGUUUACUUUGUUGGCAUGAUCGGGGAGCGGAUUGUUUUGGACAUUUGGUUUUGUAGUUUGGAAUGAGAAGGCAUUAGUAUCCAACAGGUUCUGGAUCUGAUGCUUAAGGACGAAACACGCAUCAGUUGAGUAGCCUACUUCUCCCAUGUGAUAGUCACAUUUUUUGGACGGGUCAUAGUUGAAGAAGUUUUCAGCGUUGGGUCGUUUUGGCUCCGUUGAGAUGAGGUUUUUGUUUCGGAGGAUUGCCAAAACCUAUGAGAGAGAUCCAGGAAGCGGAGUGAAUUGUCUUCCGUUGUUAUAGCGCUAGGGUGGUUGACAACUGGUGGUCUGUUAUUGCCCUGUGCUUGUCUGAACGGUCGAGAGGUGACCGGUAUUUACAAUGUAGGUUGCAUUGACAUCUACCAGAGGUUCUUUGUCUUUUUUCAGGUUGAGCCUUUUGCUGAUGGGUGCAGGCUUAGUGAACUAGCCAUCCCUUAACCCUAUCUCAAUCUGCUCUCCUACUAGAAUGAGUUGAUUGAAUGAUUCGGCUGUGGUAUUCAUAGGGGAGGGUUUUGAUGAACAUUUUUCUUAGUUCGAAAUCAGUUGGUGUGGGACUGAUCUGGGCGGCUAGGUUCCUCCAUCUAAUAGCAUAUUCUUUGAAAGAUUCAUGUUUUUUCUUUUCCGUGCGCUCGAGAUCUUCACAAGAAGGGGUAAUGUCCAUUAUGAACUUGUACUGCUUGAGGAAUGGCUCACUUGCUUCACUCCAUGUUUCGAGGAGGUUUGUAUUUUUUGUGAUGUACCACCUUAGGGCGGGACCUAUUAGACUUCAUUAGAACAACUGGAUUAUUAGAGGUACAUUAUUAAUGUACUAGGUCAUUCGAACCAAGUACAUUAGCAUAUGAGCCCUUGGACAAGUCGUGUCAUCGUACUUCUCAAACUCAAGCAUUUUGACCUUGGAGUAGAUUGAGAGGUUUGUUGGAGUAGGAUCUUUGAGGCCCUGUAGUUGUUUUAGCCUCUCUUCAAGCUUCUCGAGGCGUUUGUCAUGCUCAGUCUUAGACAAACUGUUGGGCUUUGCUUUCUCAACUAUGAUUUGGUGCGUGUCAUCCUCCAAUUCGGGCAUGUUAUCGUCGGUAUCUCUUCCUUGAUCACCUCGAAUAGACGAUUGUGGUAAUAAUACUUCGAUUGAGGUCAAGGCGGGAGCCAAUUUGCUUUGGAUGGAAUCUAUCUACUUUGAGAGUUGUUGAAGCACAUUGAAGACCUGCUUCAUUUCAUUUUCCAUAAUCUCGAUACGGCUUGGUACGUUCUCUUCAGCCAUUCUAGCUUUUGGAUUUGGCGAAUGCGACUAUGUCGUGAUUACCUGCAUUGCACAAAAUGGAGAGAACGUAAACGAGGGAAACAUAUGGAAUACUAGCCCAUGGCAAGGGUCGAGUCAUUUUAUUUAUUAACAGGGGAUUUAUACAAUGCCAAAAAGGCUUUUUAAAUAGGGUAGAAUGAU
Molecule: long non-coding RNA, 71836 nt
Filed under: Eucalyptus grandis
Lineage: Eukaryota; Viridiplantae; Streptophyta; Magnoliopsida; Myrtales; Myrtaceae
Description: long non-coding RNA (EGRA_LNC003381)
Source: RNAcentral